CUUCUUUUUCAACUACUCAUUUUUCUAAAAAAUAUUAUUCCCCCCAUUUUCAUUUUCAGGUAAUGGGGGUUAAACGAUAUCUAAAAUAACGCUAGAUAAUAGAUUAAAUGAAAAAUCACCUACCAUAUAAUGUCAUAUUAUAUGAACUAAAUAGCAUUGCAUUACCCAUCAUAAAUUUUUGCUAAUGGACCAAUUGAAGUUUUUCUACAAAUUAACACAUUUAUUAUUGGCCACGUUUAUACAUCCAUACUCCAAAUAAAUUUAGCAAUAAUUAACAAUAAAUGCUAACCCACCCAGACCUCUAAACAUUGAAUUCCAAUUCAGCCGCAGAUUGUCCUGAUUCUGAUUCAUUUAAAACACAAUAGGGUUUUAUUUCUGUUCAUACACAAGGAUCCAUCAAGUUAGAGUUGCUUGCUGGGGCCCCCAGGGCAUAUCUCCCAGUGGCAAAAGGGAAGGCGGAUAGGACUCAGGGCGGUAGUGUGCAGAGUUCGAUUUCCCGUAAAGUGGAAUUGACUUUGUUGCAAGCGGGAGUUACCAUAUGAGUUAACAGCCUUGGCCUAUCCAUGUGCUCUCCACCCUGGCUCCUGGGAGGCACAUCCUGCGAUUUACCUCCUCCACGAUGACUUAGGGCAGGGUCAGUGGGGGCCCUUAAAGUUGGAGUUCAACCUUUUUUUUUAUUUUUAGAAUUGCUUGCUGGGUCUCCAACUCCGAGGACCAUAUUGUUUUGAAGAAAUAUCUAUCUACUUCAAGAAUCGCAAUAAAAUCGAGAUAAGUUCACAGAAAAAUAGUACAUCAGUCUCAAUAUAGAAACGAAACUACAAUUAUAAAUUUUAAUAUUACUCAUUGCAUUUUGGCCUCAACCCAUACAACCCAUAGCUACGUACAUCAUGACACUAGAACCCGCAAAUCCCAUUCUCCUGCCGACAUUAAAAAGUUUUAUUGACUUUGAAGAAAAUGUAAAUAAAAUUCUCAUGCCACAUCAAUAUUAGGGACAGUCUUAUCCUACUCACUAUAAUCAAGAUUACAAUUUCGAUCAUCUAAAUACUACCGUAUAACAUAAAUUAUUACAACUAAGGUUAAACAUCCCAGGUUAUUCCAGAUCACAGCUGUUGUCUUGAGUGAUAGUACACGUCGGAUUCCACCGUGGAAAUCAUCACUUGCCUCCGACCCGACCAAACGAAACUACAAUUAUAAAUUUUAAUAUUACUCAUUGCAUUUUGGCCUCAACCCAUACAACCCAUAGCUACGUACAUCAUGACACUAGAACCCGCAAAUCCCAUUCUCCUGCCGACAUUAAAAAGUUUUAUUGACUUUGAAGAGAACCGUAAAUAAAAUUCUCAUGCCACAUCAAUAUUAGGGACAGUCUUAUCCUACUCACUAUAAUCAAGAUUACAAUUUCGAUCAUCUAAAUACUACCGUAUAACAUAAAUUAUUACAACUAAGGUUAAACAUCCCAGGUUAUUCCAGAUCACAGCUGUUGUCUUGAGUGAUAGUACACGUCGGAUUCCACCGUGGAAAUCAUCACUUGCCUCCGACCCGACCCAAAUAAGGGAAAUUCUUUAGCCAGAUCGGAGCCACGAAAUCUAAGCAGUAAACCAGAGCUUCGUUCUUUAGCCCAGUCAGAGUCAAUCAAGAUCGAGCAUGAGGAGCCUUCUGAAAUCACCGGAGAAAUUAUUGCUUUUACUGUCGAGGCUUUUCUUUUUGCAGAACGCCGGUAGAGGAAGUGAGCUUGGGGCAGGCGAUAAAAUGAAACCCGUCCCAGCGUAAAUAUCCAUCUGUUUCGAUACCGUCUUGGAGGUCGGAACCACCAAAUCCUUGGUGACCGUCUUCGCCGCGAUCUCCGAGUUCUCUUCUUUCUUAAUUACCAACGAGUCGUCCAACGACGUCGUUACAUCAGCCAACACUUGGCCGCGUUUCAAAAUUUUUACCUUCUCCAUAAUCAGACUCUUGCUGUCGUCAUCUGACGACGCUUUGGUUGAAUUCCUACUAUUAGCAGGACUCCUUUUCCGGCGACGGACUUUGGCUGGAGUAGAGCUAGGGUUAGGGCUAGAAGGAACCAAAUUUUUGGGAUUUUUCCUGGAUUUCAUAGGUGGUUGGAUUAAAUUAUUUCGAUGUUUACAACUGAAUUGAUUCUUCAAAAUAUCUUGUGGAUGAAGAACUGCGACUUCUCCCAUUGAAUAUCGAGAUGUUCGCGACAAAAUAUAUUACAAAAAUAAAUCAAAGACUAAGAACAAAAAGAAUUGAGAAGGGGAGAAUUGAACAAAUCUGGUGAGAUCUAGAGAAAUAUUAAAUUGAUGAAGAAAUUUAUUGGGUUUAUCGAAGUUAUAAAUAGGCAAUCAAAGUCGGCCAUGGGAAGGUUGAAAGUCGGCAGGAUUGAUAACGUGCGCGAGGGUUUUUCUACGAGUAGGAAUUGGGCUUAGCGUGUUAGUCUCACGGGUAAAUUUCCUUAUCCUAAUGCCUUGGUUGACACGGUACCUAACUUUAUAUUUUAUUGCAUUCGAGUCCCUAGUGAACUUUUAUUUUCCUUUCUCUUAUUUUUUUAGGGUUGCACAUACAAAACGACAUCCCUAUCAUUACUAAAGGAAAAACCCAGAAUUGUACAUGAACUUCUACGCGUUUCGGGAAAGAAAUAUGAAUCAAAGAAAAAAUCAAAAAAGAAUGUUUAAUGUUGUCAAUGACGGGCCACGAUGAUAACUUUGGAAGGCGUUUGAUUCAUUUUAUGAUUGGAUUAUAAAAAGGAGUUUUAGAGAGUCCUAUGAAAUGUUUGAAUAAUAAAUCAUAUUUUGUUCGAUUAAAAUAUUUGAUUAAAAUUUAAGUUAAAAUCAACAAUUAUUUUAAUCACAUUUGCGGAAGCUCUCAACUUUUCUACCACACAGUCCAUUGAUGUUUAUUAAAAUUUAUUAAAAAUAUGAUUUUUAUUAAAAUCAAAAAUGGGCUAAAGAUGUAGUAAUUGUGAAUGUGUGAUUAAAAUUAAUUUUUAACUUUGACUUUAUUUUAUAAAGGGAAACUUGCAGUCAAGAUCGGUACCAAACUUUUUACUUUUAUGCAGAUUUGACUCAAAUAUUUAAUUUGUAGUUCUCACAGUAUCAAACAUUUCGAAAACUAGCAUCUAGUGUUCAAAUUAAUAGGAAUAAUUAGAUUCUUUUGUUAGUAGACCAAAAAUCAAAGAUUUGACCAAAAGUUGACUAAUUUUUAGAGGGCAAAAGAGUAACUUUACAUUUUUUUAAUAUAAAAAUACGAAAAUAAAAGGAUUAAAUCAAAAAUAUAAAAAAAAAAAAGAAAAAAAAGAAAAAUACUAUUCAUCUUUUUCCUCAUCCUUCCACACCUCACUGACCCCAAAACCAAAAGCCAGAAACCAUCUAAACCAUCGGCACCAUCGCUCGAUGACCACUAUUGUUACGCCCCUCAUCAAACCACUUCAGAACGUCGAAGACCACUCCUAUAUGAGGUGCCACAUGUCCCUAGAAAGUAGUUCAGAAGCGAUGUCAACCUCAGUCGAACUUCAACUUGACGCACCGCAAGGCACACACAUCACAAACUAAACCUGCUGAAGCAGCCGAAGCGUCCUCCUGAAAUCGAAGCGUUUGGCACUCCGAGGUGCUCCCUUAACAGAUCCCUCCGCUGCCAAUUUCAGAAGUAUAUCUGUGUCAGGAUCCUCUAUGGAUGUGACACCCCCAUGAGUCUAAUUGAUGUGAUAUCAACUCAACUCAGGAGAAUUAAUAACCCGCCCACUCUAGAUGCGGUUGAUUGACACCUACGAGCAGACGUCUCACACUGUCGGAUGUAUACAUGUGUCCCACAUCCAACGAUGCUUCUCGUCUAUAAAUACUCAAGGUUUGGCAAGAGACAAAGGUAAUCAAACUCUUUCAAAACUUGACACUCCACAUUCAAUAUUAUAUGUUCUUCUCUCCACUCUCUUGCACAAUUUUGAUGAUCGACCACUGACUUGACCGUCGGAGUGUAUGCGGUUGCCACCACUCCCAUUGGUUCCGACCGUGUGCUCCUGACCAUGUGUUGUUGUGCGCAGGGAGGAGCACGUGGAGUAGCUCUCGAUUGGCCACUUGGAGGCCCAAUUCGCGAUGUCAACAGAUUGGCGCAGUCUGUGGGAAACUUCCAACCAAAGAAUUCCCCAUUUACCAUCGGAAAAAGCCACCAGAAAACUAUUGACUUACCUUGAAAAAGGGACAUUCGUGAAAAAGAACCAAGUCAACUUACAGUCUAAAGUUCAUAACACCCUUGAAAAAGGAGUGAGAAAAUGAGUUACAGCAAUGAGGAUGCAAAUCUUGAAGGGCAUAGAGACGCCUCUGAAAAAGAGGUGCUCCGGACCAAUGUCACGCACCGGAGACCCCAUCACCAGCGUUGUCGAGGCAACAGGACAACAACACUCAUGGAAGAGAUGACUCAAAUAACUGCAUGCAUGAAAGACAUUGCAGCCUAAAAUCUGAUGAUGCGUGAAUUCUUCAUGCAAGCCCAAGGUCAGCAGAGCUUCCCAAUGCCACAAGGGUUACAUCCAAUUCAGGGAGAAAUCCCUGCAUCUCAUACUUGAGGUCAUUUAAACCACCAUAGAAAACACCCCCAUUGAGAGAGAAGUGGGGAGUGGAUGUCACAUCUUAUGCCCAGGGCAGUCAAGCGAAAGAACCAUAGUUGGGAAAAAAUUUUCCACGAGAAGACGAGCCACAAAGGUUGGUUAGUGUUUUUGACCGGAUUGGGCAGAACUCUAGCAAUAGGGUUUGCUCCGUACGAUGAUCAGCUUAGCAAGAACAAGGGCAAGAACAAAUACCGCCUCCACCUCCGCCUAGAAAUAGGCGUGAAAAGAGGAACUUGGUAGAUUGGGGUAGUCAAGUAGAGGUACCUCCACCUCCCCAAAAUGUGUCAGAGGAGGAAGGCUCUAAGGGGCCAUGUCGCUCUUACGAAAUUGAUGACGAUGAUGACAACCUCCCUUUCUCCAGAGAAAUUUGAAGCUUCCCAAUACCUGCGAACUUCAUGUCCCCUAAAAUCUCUAAGUAUAAAGGAAAGGGGACCCACAAAAAUACCUCAAACCUCACUAAGUACAUAACGCAGAUGAGCCUCAAAGGAGCUGUUGAGGUGUGGUACAGCGUGUUACCACCUCUAAGCAUCAGAAGUUGGCUAGAUUUGAAGAAGGCAUUUUUGAACCAAUACCUCUCGCAAAGGGAAGGAGAGGCCUCAGUGCAAUGCCUAUAAGAUAUGAGGCAAGCCCCUGGCGAGACACUGAAAAGUUAUCUCGCCAGAUUCACUGAUGAAAUUACAUACUGUGAACAAGUCACGGAUAGAGAGGCCCUCUCAGCCUUAAAAGGAGGCCUCAACAUGAACACAUUAUUCUGGAAAGACGUGCGAAGUAAAAAUUCAGGCACUUAUGACGAACUGGUUGAGAUGAUGAGAGUGAAAAUCGUCAAUGAGGAGAUGAUUGACCACCGAAAUCGUGUAGUUCAGGGAAGUCCUCCACCUCGGAGGCAGAUAGGUCAAGGACCAAUGACACACCUCAUCACCUAGCAAUGGACCCAGGCAGGUCACACCGUAGCCCCCACAUUCGGACAGGCAUUGGCUUCAGCAACCCUAAAUGCGGUGCCGGUACUAGCAUAUGAAAAUAACCCUGCCGCAGCAGGGCCAUCCAGAGGGACAAACAAUAAUCGACGCAAGAAGAAAAAAUAGUCGAACAGGCUCCCGAAAGGGGCAAAGUUCUACACAUUCCACCAACUAUAUGGCCAUGACAUCAGCGAAUGAAGGGACGGGCCUCGAUCCUCAAAUCAGAGCAACUCAAGGUCCUCCAGGAGGGAUCAUUAUCAUGGACACCCUGCAGGUCUGCUUCCUCCAACAAAGAGUCGAGGCGACAAAAGGAUAAAUCACCUUGAAGGGGAGAAACAAGUGAUAGAUCUCGAGGAAAAUCUAUGCAAAGGAGCCAAGCCCCAGCCACCGAGGGCAAUACUAUCCGAAAAAUUGAUACAAUCAUUGGAGGACCUCACAUUGGAGGGAAUACCAGGAACGCACAGAUGAACUAUACAAGGGAAGCGAAAGACCCACCAAUGAUUACAUGCAUUGUCAACCAGUCCCAAACUAACAAAGCAGCUCCAAUCACCUUCUCUCAAGAAGAUUCGCAAGGUGUUCAUCACCCUCACUGCGAUGCGUUGGUGGUAAGAGCCGUUGUGGCUCGGAACGGACUAAAGCGCAUGCCGGUCAACAAUGGAAGCUCAGUGAAUAUACUGUUCGGAUCAACCUUUGACAAGAUACAUAUCGAGCAUGGCUUGGUUCCCAUGGCCAACCCAAUAUUUGGACUCACUGGUGAUAGUAUUAUCCCACGAGGAAGAAUUACUUUGCCUGUUGAGAUAGGAUCAACACCCCUAGUUGCUCAUCACUUCAGGGAGUUUUUAGUGGUGGAUCAUGGGUCAGCUUACCAUCGGGUACUGGGCCACCUGUACUAAAGGACCUCUGGGCUGUGACUUCCAUUCACCACUUAUGUAUGAAGUUCCCAACUGAGCAUGGGAUCGCGAAGAUCUGAGGCAACCAAAUGGGCUUGAGAUCAUGGUACCUCAACUCCCUAUGAAAAUCUAAGCCCCGCAUUGUGAAUUUGAUAAUAACCGAUGCAACAAAUGAAAAAAAUGGAUGUAGAGAUGCUUGACGUCCUGAACAAGGGUCUACCCCUGAACGGGGAAAAGACGUUGACAUGAUCGAGGUCCAUGAAGAAGGGCACCCUCUUGAUGAAUUAGAUCCUCAGAUCAUUGAUUCUGAACCAAAUGCAACCCCUAUGAAAGAGCUUGAAACUUUCCCUACCAACUCUCAAGACCCCACUUAGGUCUUGUGACUAGGGAAAGCUUUGCCCCGUAAGAUGAAAGAAGAACUGACGAACUUGUUGAAAAGGAAUUUGGACGUCUUCGCAUGAAAGCACGAAGACAUGGUGGGAAUAGACCCAAGGGUCAGCUGUCACCACUUGAAUAUUAACCCCACUUGCACGCCGCAUCUACAAAAGAGGCGAGCACUCAAUCCAGAAAGAUAUAAGGCGCUGAAAGAAAAAGUUGACAAGCUAAGUCGCAACGAUUUCAUCAGAGAAGCCAUUUAUUCAAAGUGGAUAUCCAACCCAGUGCUUGUAAAGAAAUCCAGCAGGAAGUGGAGGGUGUGCAUUGACGUCACCGACUUGAACAAAGCUUGCCCAAAGGACAGCUUUUCCCUUCCAAAGAUAGACCAAGUCGUGGACUUCAUUGCUGGACAUUAACUCUUGAGAUUCAUGGAUACUUAUUCAGGGUAUAACCAAAUACCCAUGUUCCGACUUGAUAAAGAGGCCACAUUGUUCAUCACAAACCGAGGAAUAUAUUGCUAUAAGGUGAUGUCCUUCGAAUUAAAAAAUGUCGGCACCACAUACUAGAGGUUGGUCAACAUGAUAUUCGCCAAUCUCAUUGGCAAAACUAUGGAAGUCUAUGUUGAUGACAUGCUGGUCAAAAGCCUCCACACAAGAGAUCACGUAAGUCAUCUGGACACCACUUUUCAAAUUUUGAGGAAAUACAAAAUGAAGUUGAACCUACUAAAGUGCACCUUUGGGGUAGCGUUGGGUCAAUUUUUGGGAUACAUUGUGAUUCAAAGAGGGAUUGAGGUAAAUCCUGAGAAACUAAAGGUCUUAUUAGAGAUGAAGUCACCCCAGAAGCAAAAAAGGUGCAAAGCCUUAAUGGAAGGACUGUUGCACUCAGUCGCUUCAUCUCCAAAGCCAUGGAUAAGAGCAUACUCUUUAAGAUUCUGAAGUAGGGGAGGAAGUUCCAAUGGACCGAAGAAUGUGAUACAGCCUUCCAAGCGCUGAAGAAACACUUGGGGGAGGCGCCCCUACUGUCUAAACUUAAUCUGCGCGAGACACUCCUGCUUUAUUUGGCAGUUUUGCACGAAGCAGUCAGUGUCGUGCUCGCCAGGGAAGAAGAGGUACGCUAACUGCCAGUUUACUACAUCAGCAAAACCCUGCUGCCAGCAGAGACUUGCUAUCCACACAUGGAGAAGCUUGCACUCUCCCUUAUUACCAUGUCAAAGAAGCUGAAGCCAUACUUUCAGGCUCAUUCAAUUGAAGUCCUCACCAACUUCCAACAGAAACAAGUGCUACAAAAAAUAGACGCUUCGGGUCGAUCGCUAAAAUGGGCAAUUGAGCUCAGUGAGUUCGACCUGCUAUUUAAACCCCGAAGUGCCAUCAAGGGUCAGGCCUUGCUGAUUUUGUUGCUGAGUCCGCCAAAGUCCCAGAAAUGGAGGCAACAAAGGAUCCAGCAUAGCCUCCAACAUGGAACUAUUUGUGGAUGGAUCGACAGGAAAAAGCGCCGUCAGAGCCGGAGUCAUCCUGGAAAGCUCAGAGGGCCAUAGGCUAAAUUGUGCGAUUAGGUUCGAAUUCAAGGCCUCGAACAAUGCUGCAGAGUAUGAAGCCCUCUUAGCAGGCCUCAGGCUAGCCCAAGAAAUGUAAGUUAAAACAUUACAAGCCACUAGUGACUCACAGCUUGUGGUGAGUCAAGUCAAUGGAAGAUUCGCAGUCAAAGACAGUGGUAUGACUGCUUAUCUAAAACUAGUUCUGAGCCUAGUCCCCCACUUCGAGAGGUUCGAAUUGGUCCAAGUCCCACGCCUCGAAAAUACACAUGCAGACGCCCUAUCCAAACUUGCCAGCAGCAAGGAUUAUGAGCUGCUAAGAAUCGUUCCAAUCGAGCGCCUGCCGAAACCCUCCAUCUCUGGAGAUGAAGAGGUAAUGUGGAUUGAAGGUACCUCACCUUGAAUGCAACCCAUUAUAGCCAAUCUCAAAGGGACAAGGGGGGUGGUAGAGGAAAAUUAAAACAUACAGUGCUUCAAUCUAUAUAUUGCUCCUGCUCCUAGCAUUUGAUUUACAUUUUUGUCGUUCUUGAUUUUAGAUUGCUUGCAUCCCAUUGAUUCCCCACAUAGGAAUCUACAAGAAAUUACAACACAAAACACACUCAGUGAUUGCAAUAAGAGAAUUGGAAACGGAUCGGAAUUCAAUUUCAAUCGCUUAGUGAAAGAGGACAAAUUUCUUUAUUGCUUUAAAGAAAAUUUUAGAGUAGCGGAGUAAGGAUCUUCAUUAUCACUCUCUUAAAUCUUGUCAACUAUCAUUUGCACGACUUCCAAUUUAUUGAUGUUCGGCUUGGUUGUUUUAAUUUCUUUAGUGAACAUGCCAAAAAGCUGAGGCUACACACCGUCUCAAAAAGCUGGGGAAAUGAAUUCACCGGAGAAGACGGUUGCUUAACAUAUAUACUUGUUGCCGGUUUUGGAAGCGAUAAUUAACAAUAAAUGCUAACCCACCCAAACCUCUAAAUGUUAAACUUCAAUUAAGCUGCAAAUUAUCCUGAUUCUGAUCUAUUUAAAACACGGAAUAGGGUUUUACUUUUCUUCACACACAAGGAUCCAUCAAUUUAGAGUUGGUUGCUGGGGAAGAUUCUCAAUAGAAAAAAGUAUAUAGAGAAGAUAGUACAUAAGUCUCAAUAUAGAAAUGAAACUACAAUUAUGGUCCGUUUGAUUACAUGAAUAAAAUUUUGGUGGAAAGAAAACGAAUUAUAGAGAAUUGAAUUGCUUAGAACUUGUUUUACUGGAAAUUGAGCCCUUCUUUGAGCCCCAUUCUUUUGGAAAAAUAUAUUUUUGAACAGUGUUUUGACAUCAUUUCAAUCACACAUUUUUCAAUAAAAUAAUAUUAUACACAAAUUGAAAACAUUUCCUUAUUUUUUAACCACACAGUUCCCAUCAAUACACUUUUCAAAAAUUCAUUCGUCCCAAAAAAUGGGACUCAAACAAGGGCCAAAUGUGUUUAAUUAGUAUAAUUUUUCACCUGAAAAAUAUUGAAAUUUUGGAUCUUUUGGUGUACUUUUGACUUCAUUUUUCAUGAAAAUUAUCAAUUAAAUGGAUAGAUAUUUUAACAAUUGUGGAUAAAAUUUGUUUUCACUGUCAAAAAUAAUAAUAAAAAUAAAAAAUAAAGUUGGAAAACCCAUUUUCUCAACAAAAUCCAAGGAAUUGGAAUUCUUUCAAAACCAAGAAAGUCAAGGCACAUGGGGGAGAAAUAAAAAAUGUUUUCAUAGAAUUUUUUGCCAUCAAACACGAAUUUUUGGGUGGAAAUGGAAAUUUUUUUUCCAUUUUCAUGGGGAAAAAACCCUAUUAGACAGGGCCUUAUAAUUUUCAAUUGUAUUACAAGUACUGUACUUUUUACAUUAUUCUUUUAUAGUACUCUCACAUCAAACAAGUGGACUCCACUAUUAAAAUAAUCGUGGAGCAACAUGAGUGCACUCAGCUUAAUUCUAUAAUUUUUUCAUAUUGCUGAUUGCAUUUUGGCUACUCAUGGCACUACAAUAGACACACAUAACCUAAACUAAUUUUAUAUAUUUAUCAUCUAAAUACUACCAUAUAAAAUAAAUUUGAAAUUGUUAGAACAAAGGCUGACCCCAAACAAUAACUUCAACCACUACACGAACAUCCCAGGCAAUACAACAUCACAACUGUUGUCAUUGAGUAAUAGUACCAGUCGGAUUCCACCCUAGCAAUAAUCACUUGCAUCCUACCCGACCCGCCGAUUCAAUCCAAAUAAGGGAAAUUCUUUAGCCAGAUCGGAGCCACGAAAUCUAAGCAAUAAAACAAAGGUUCGUACUUUAGCUGAAUCAGAGUCAAUCAAGAUCGAGCCUGAGGAGCCUUCUAAAAUCAAUGAUGAAAUUAUUGCUUUUACUGUGGAGGCUUUUCUUUUUGCAGAACGCCGGUGGAGAAGUGAGCUUGCGGGAGGCGAUAAAAACAAACUCCUCCCAGCAUAAAUAUCCAUCUCGGAGGUUGGAACCACCAAAUCCUUGGUGACGGUCUUUGCCGCAAUUUCCGAGUUCUCUUCCUUCUUAAUUACCAGUGACGACUCGUUGCAUUAGUCAACGCUUCGCCACGUUUUUAAAUUUUGAUCUGGUUGUUUUAAUCUCUUCAGUUAAGACGCUGAAAAGCUGAGGCUACACACCGUCUCAGAAGUCCGGGAUUUGGAUUCACUAGAGAAGAUGGUUUCUUAACAUAGAUACUUGCCGGCGAUUUUGGUGGCGUUGAUGCUUGGUGGGUGCUAACAGUUUUGCUGGUUUUUGGUUAUGGGGGAUGUGGGUGUUGUGGGGUGAGCGGAGAAGAUAAUAGUGGUUUUCUUUUAUAUAUAUAUAUAUAUAAAGUUAUCUUUUACCCUUUAAAAAUUAAUUACAUUUUCUUAGAUUUUUUAUUUUAUUUUUGGUCAACCAAUAGAAAAAUUAACGGAUACUAUUAAUUUGGACUCCAUAUGUGAGUUUUAGAAAAGUUUGUAUCGUGAGCGUCACAAAUUAAAGAUUUGAAUCGAGUCUGCAUAAAAGUGAAACGUUUAAUACUGUGACUAUUUUUCCUUUUAAAAAUAGAAACAAACAAGUUUUAGAUUUUUUUACAAAAAUUCCAUGUAGAAAUUUUUCAAAAUGUUGAGAGGGUAAUCGUCACCUCCCAUCCCUUGGCUCCGCCUUUACGACUUGUAACAUUUUCUUGAGUAUUUCUAGAAUUUUGUAUAAAUAUUUCGAUUUCACAAGAAAUUAAUCCGCAUUUCUUUCAACUGUGUGCUUUUACUUGAAAGUGUUCAGAGGUCACGAGCACAGUGUUUUAUGACAAGAUGAUGAGACAAAUGUUGGCAAGUUCAAAGCAAUUAGUUGUUGGUAGGUCAAUAGUUUCUUGCAUAUGGAAAAUAUGUGCACGUAAUCAUCUGAUUGAACUGUUAGUUUAAUAACAUGAUUUAUCUCUUUGCUAAUGGAAUAACGCUCCUAGGACAGGAGGCAAUGAUAGAUUGAGGUGAUAGGAUGGUGUGACAUACAUUGAUUGGAUUUUUAUUCUAAAUUGUCCAAUCAUAUAUUUAUAUGUGUUCCCUCUAUCAUUAAGUUUAUAACCCAGCAAGAUUGUUAAAAAAAAAAUGUUGAAUCCCAACCUUAAAGGUCUCCCAUUACCCCUACUCUGGAGUAUCGUGAGGGAGGUAAAUCGCAGAUUAUGCCUCCAAGGGUAUAGGGUGGAAGGCUGCUUGUAUACUUGCACUUACCCAAGAGCCAAAUCCAUAUUUCAAGAUUCGAAUCCUUGACGCGGCAGUUUCAAGCAAAAAGAUUGUUUCUAAUAUUGCAAGACAAUUGUUGCAAAAGGAGAGUAUACAUUAGCUAAAGCCUCAAAUUAGGGUUGGACAUGAUUCGAUUUAGUUCGCUUUCAACAAAAAUCGAACUGGACUCAAAAUUUUCGAAUAUUUAGUAAGCAGAAUCGUCGGGUCCAAAUUUAGUUAUGGAACCGUUCGGGUUCGGCUUCAUUCGGUUAGUUCGGUUCCCAAGUUCCAUAUUAUUAUUAUAUUUUUUAAUAUUUACUAAGUGAUAUAUGUUCAAUCUUAACUUUUACAAAAUAACAUAGUGUAAUCUUAUGUGUCUUUUACGUCUCUUUUUGCUAAAUUCUUCAUAAAUUUGAUUUUUAAAAUCGCAAGAAAAUGAAGAGAACGAGCUCAAAAAUAAUUAAGAGGGGCAUUUUCAAACUUCAAUUCGAUUUCUGCAGAAUGAUAGAAACGGCACUACGGUAGAGUAACAGAUUUAGAUAAAACUUAAAUCAAUUUUGAUUAAGUUGGCUAUCAACUGAAAAUUAGAAAUAGGAAAUUUAUAUUUUUGUGUUUGAACUAAAUGAACUAGCUAGCAAAUUUAUUUAGAAAAAAUAAAAUAAUUUAGUUUAUUUAAAAUAAAUUAAUUAAAAAAAUUAAGAAAAUUCGAUUCUUAUUCGAUUCUUGAUCUAGAACCGAGAACCGAACCAAAUAUGUCGGUUCUCGAUUCAUAGACUCGUUUGGAUAUUUAAUUUAAGAAGAAUCGUUUGAUUCGAGUUUUGUUCAGCCCUACCUCAAAUGGAGGGAAAGUGAUGACUUUCUCUUCUCUAUCCAAUCACCUUUAUUCGAUGUGUAUAUAUAGUUUUUGCUAGAGUAAGCGACGAUGUCAUUCCCUCAAAGUACGGUGAAGAGAUGAGUCGAUGCUAUCGAAGGUAAUGAUUUCUGUUCAAAGAGACUUCAGAAUACCAUAUCAAACACAAGUUGAACUUCCAUCAAUCAAUUGAUUUGUUUGGGGGUGAGAAAAAGGGUACCGAUCUUUCAUCCAUGAGACUUGUCCAAGGGCGAGUCAGACAAAUCGACUUCAGUGUAUAACCACAAUACAUUGAAACAUUGUUUUCAAUAAAAGUAUCCUCAUGUUUGCUCUGAACCAUCAAUCUAUAAAUUUUUUUGAUGCAAAAAAUAAAAGAAAAUACAAAGUUCACGGACCCUUACCUUUUAUUUAUACCUUUUCGAUAUUUAUUUAUUUUGUUUAAUUAAAAGACAAGGCUAAAAUCAUCAAUGAGGAUCAAAAUAUCACAGAGAGGAAAGAUUAUGGACUGAGACCAUCAAGAUGAAUUGUUGGGACCUACUUGCAAUAUUAUGCCUUAAAAUAAUCAUCUUGUCCUUUCCCAAACUGCAGAUUUUCCUGGAACUUGUUAACACGAACAGAGUUGGAUAGGGAAAUCGAGAAAAGGACUGUCAAAAAAUCCUUUAAAUUGUUUUAUUCCUAAAAUCUCUUGAAAAAAAUAUAUAUUUGGUGACAAACCAUAUAAUAUUUUAAUUUUAAAGAGAUUUCUUUUAUAAUUUCACAAAAUUUAUCAAGCAAUGAUCCAGUAAUCUUACCAAUGACCCAUCGAUUCAACCAACAACUCAAUGAUUUAGUAGUUAGUUCAAAUAGAUGCUUAGAUUAAUGCACAGAUCAAGUUUAAUGUUAAAAAAAAAAUGUCAAAAACUAAAAAGAGAUUUUAAAAGCAAAAUUUAUACAAUUUAUAAAUAAUAAUCAUGAAUAUAGCCCUUGUUCGGGAGAGCCUUUUUUUUUUUUCCCCAUUUGUAGCAUUUUUUCUCCUGUUACAGUUGAACAUGGUUCCCAUUUUGGCUGCAAUUUUUCACCGAUUCAAAAUUAAAUAUUAAAAAUGUGCUUGUCUCAUGAAGAAUGAAUGAAAUGUUAAGGGGCAAAAAUGUCAUUAUGUCUUCAAAUAGUAAAAAAUAAACUGAUAUUAUUAUUAAAAUGAAAUGAAUCAACCCAAAGAGUAUACCACAAUCUCAAAUAAAAGCAAUUUAACAAAGGCGGUAAUUACAAAUUUACAACAAUCCGACUCUUUUUUUUUUUUUCCCAUUUGUAGCAUUUUUUCUCCUGUUACAGUUGAACAUGGUUCCCAUUUUGGCUGCAAUUUUUCACCGAUUCAAAAUUAAAUAUUAAAAAUGCGCUUGUCUCAUGAAGAAUGAAUGAAAUGUUAAGGGGCAAAAAUGUCAUUAUGUCUUCAAAUAGUAAAAAAUAAACUGAUAUUAUUAUUAAAAUGAAAUGAAUCAAACCCAAAGAGUAUACCACAAUCUCAAAUAAAAGCUAUUUAACAAAGGCGGUAAUUACAAAUUUACAACAAUCCGACAAUCGAAUCAAAAAUAACAUAAAGCAAAUAUAAAGAGGGAGCUAUGCCCCCACCAAGUUGCAGACGAUGCAGUGGCUGCAAAAGUUGUCAAGGAGUCUCACACAUGGUUGCCCUCUUGAAAAUGUGAGACAUACGUGUGAGAGGAGAAAUAAAGAUUUAGCCCUUGUUUGGUCCGAAUUAAAAUUCAGAUUUUAAUUUAAAUCAGUAUCAACAAUUAAUUUUAACCACAUAUUUUAUGAGAUCCAUAAUUUUUCAACAAUACAUUUUAUCAACUUUUAUUAAAAUUUACUAAAAAUUUUAUUUGAAUCCCUAUCAAACAUGGACUAAUAAAGUUGUCUCAAUAUGUCAAUGAAAUGAUGCAUGCCAUAUUGAGUGAAGAAGUUAGGAAAUGUCAUUUGCGUGUAAAUGUUUCAAUUCGAAGUGUUCGAUGACUAGCAUUGCAAGGUUGUUGCAUUUGUAGUAAUAAUAAAUCUCCAUCUUCAUUGAAUCACAUGAAUUUUCUUGAAAAAGGUAGAGGUUUUGACAUAAACAAAUACAAAAAUUGAUAAAUUUGUAUGAGAGAAUGCUCCAAAAAUGAUGCCCAAUACAUUGUUACGAGUAUUUAAAAAGAUAUUUUGCACACAAUGGCAAAUAGAGUAAGGGUGAUGAUUUGUGAUAAAAAAAAAAAAAAACUGGGGAUGAAUAUUUCUUUAUUAUUGUUGAUUAAACAAGAUACAUCUAACCAAGAGCAAAUUACGAUAAUUUCAGUAUCAAGGUAAGUGACAUCAAAUCAUCAAAUCCCAAAAAUGAGCUAUCAAUUCUUGCUCAACAUGGACUUCACUUGACAAAAAUGAGAAGUCAAGGAUAUGAUGGUACUAAUAAUAUUUGCUAUGUUUGGAAUGUACUUUAGGCAUUAUUUUCUAUAGGGGUAAUUGGCACAAAAUGUUUCUAUCUAUCAAUAUUAUUGUACAAAAGUGUAAUUGGCACAAAACGUCCCUUCCUUUCAAGUCUAUUGUGGAAAACAUCCCUGCUUUUCAUUUUUUGAUAUUUUUGCCCUUAUUUCAACCUUUCUUUGCACUGGAAGUCCUUCCGUCCACAUUUCGACAAUUUCACUAUUAAUUAAAUACAAAAAUGUCUUUUUCUUUCAAUAAACAAGGGUAAAAUUGUCCUCACCCAUUUCACCCCUUCUUCCAACCCCUUCAUCUCCUCAAAGGCGCGAUGGUUCCUUUGCAAUUUUCUUCUUGAAAUGUCCCACCUUUUCUUCCAUUUCUACAACCAUUCCUCCGUUUGCUGUUCAUAUUCUCGAAUUUGAUCUGUCUGCGCAGUGGAAGCAUGCAUUGAGGAUUUUUUUAGAGAGCGAAGGUAACAUUUUGGGUAUUUUCGUUUUCCAGUUCGUAGUUUGAUGCUUUGCAUUAUUGAGAGUCUGUAUGGAGUUUUGAUACCAUUUAUUGUUGGUAUGCAGACCUUUGAAGAACGACAUGUUUCUUCCAUUUUUGAGAAAUCCCGACGAUGAUUGACCCAGUUAUGGUAUAGUGUUCUUUCCCUAAAUUUUGUGUGAACUCAUCCGAUUCUAUUGUGCAUUCACACAAUUUGUUUGUGUAAUCCCCAAAAUUAUGUCUACUGGAACACAUGCAACUAGUGUUUUUCCGUCACUACGCAUAUUUCCCUUUGGCAUGCAGUCAGUGUUCUCCAUUUGAUAUGAACUUUAUGCUAUUGCCUACAGGUGGUAAUUCUGAAUAUUUCACCAUCGAAGUACAUUAUGGAGGCCAAUUUUAUGAUAAGCCAAACAAUGUGGCGUAUGAAGGAGGAUUCGUUCUUUUCGUCGACUUCUUUCAUGAUAAAGGGUGCACGAGAGAGAAUUUGCGUAAAUUUUUACAUGGAACAUGUGAUGAAAGCAUGUUGAAAUUUUACUAUAAGAAGCAAAAAAUUAGUUUAGGGAAGGGGUUGACGAGAUUGGAGAGUGAAGAAGAUAUUAAUAGGAUGCUUAGGGAUAGGAAUGGACAUGCAGACGUGAAAAUAUACGUCGUAGCCAGAAUGCAAUCAUAUGCAUUGCAAUGGUCUUCACAAGUUGAUGAAGACCAAACAUUUGAAGGUUGUUAUAUACCUUCGGUUGCAGAAAAUGAAGGAGGGGAGCAUGAAGGAAAUUAGUCAGAUCAAUUUUUGUAAGAGAAUGCUGAGAAGUUAUGGUCACAGUAUAAGAAAACUUUACAAUACCAGAACGAGAAAGAUACAAAUGUGGGUGAUUUGAAUGUGGAGGAGGAUCAAAAUGAAGAACCAAGAGGGGAAGAUGAAGUCGAAGGUUUGGUGAAAUCAGAUUAUGAGAUGGAGCAGGAGCCCAUAGGUACUGCUAAAGUUGGGAGUGAAAGGGUCAAUUUUUAUUUCGGAUUUGGUGUAUUCGAUGAGCAGGUUAGGGAUUCGGAUACUGACUAUAGGGACUCCGAUGAUUUACAAAGCAUUCAUAGUGAAGAAGAGGGCGAUACAGCUUCAAGAAAGUUCCAAUUAUGCUUUUCAUGUUGGCACGGAUAUGGAGGAUCCAGUGUUUAGAAUAGGUAAAUAGAACAUAUUCUUUACUUCUAUUUUAAACAUGAUUAUGUACUUUAGUUUAAUGAGGUAUGAUAUGCAUUGAUUAUUUUGUUUGUACAGGCUUGAUAUUUGAAUCAAAGGCCAUUCUAAGGGCUGUAAUCGCCGAAUAUUUAGUUAGAAAGAACAGAGAGAUUAAGUUCAAAAAGGAUGAUACUCGCAGAUUGAGAGCCUAGUGUCAAGGAGACUGUCCAUGGGUGUUGUAUGCUACCAAGAAGCAUAACAAGACCAGUUGGGUGAUCAAAACUUUUGUGGAAGAGCAUGCUUGCCCUAUAGUGUAUAAGAACUUCUGAGUGACAUCAACCUAUUUGGCAGAUAGGUAUUUAGCUGAUUGGAGGGCUGACCAAAACAUGUCAGUUACUACAUUCACGGAGAGGGUUAAGCGGUAUGGUUUAGGCGAGACCUUGGCAAGUGUAUAGAUCAAAGGAGAAGGCAUUUGCAAAAAUUAGAGGGAGUGUGGUGGAGCAUUACAAAUUACUGUGGGAUUAUUGUGAGAAGUUGAAGAAGACAAAUAUUGGGACCACUGCUUUGGUUGAGGGGUAUGCUGGAGAAUUCAGACGGUUGUAUAUUUGCCUUUGAGCAUUGAGAUAUGGUUUUGUUCGGGGUUGCAGAAGGGUGAUUGGGGUAGAUGGUUGCUUUUUUAAGACAAAGCUUGGUAGCCAGUUGUUGACUGCGGUUGGUGUCGAUGCUAAUAAUGGUAUGUAUCUAGUGGCAUAUGCAGUUGUUGAAGUUGAGAAUGAGGAUAAUUGGAGAUGGUUUUUGGGGUUAUUGAAGGAUGAUUUGCAUAUACACAACACUCAGUAUUGGACAUUCAUUUCAGAUAAGCAAAAGGGGUUGACUAAUACAGUUGAGUCCUUUGAAAAUUUAGAGCAUAGGACGUGUGUUAGACAUCUAUAUAACAAUUUUAGCCUCUCUCACAAGGGUUUGGCUUUAAAGAAUUGUUUGUGGGAUGCAACCAGAGCCACCACUGUAUCACAUUGGCUUGAACACAUGCAACAUAUGUUAGACUUGGACCCAGUUGCUUAUGGAUAGCUUGAGGGAAAGCUAGCUUCUUAUAGGAGUAAAUCCCACUUUAGAGAAUGGAAUCAGUGUGACAUGCUUCUCAACAAUUUAUGUGAAUCAUUAAUAGCACAAUUGUGACUGCAAGAGAAAAGCCGAUAUUAACCAUGCUAGAGGAUAUAAGGGUAUAUUUGAUGAGGAGAAUUGUAGCCCGUAGGGAGUCCUGUGAUCGAUGGACAACAGUAGUAGGACCUAGAAUUCAAAAGAUUUUGGAGAAAAAUAGUAAGCCUGCAAGGAUAGAAUGGGCUGAAUACGCAGGCAAUGAAAAGUUUCAAGUUCGACACGAUGCAAGAACUGUGUUAUAUGCUAUGGAUUUAAAGGCAAGAACUUGUACAUGUCGUGAUUGGCAAUUAUCAAGAAUUGCAUGUAGCCAUGUAAUUGCCUCCGUUGUAUCUAAAGGUCUGAACGUGAUGGAGUUCAUGGAUGAUAUCUACAAGAAUGAUGCAUAUAUGAGGACAUAUACGCCGUCAAUUUCUCCCAUCACAGGUCCGAACGCAUGGCCAACCCCAAGUUUGAACCCUCUCAAUCCACCAGUAUACACAAAGAGGGCUAGAAGGCCAAAGAAAAAUAGCAGAAAAUAGCCAAAUGAGAUGGCUUCUUCAAGUCAGCCGAAGAGGUGUACAAAGUCGAGACAAUGCCGAAACUUCGCAAUCAAUUUCAAGAACAACUACAAGUGAACGAAAAAGAUUGGGGCUGAUAAUGACAUGUACAAAAUACGGUGAAGUAGGACACAAUAGGAGAGGCUGCAAAGGGGCACCACCUCCAACACCUCAUUAGGAUGAAGCUGCCAGCCAAGUUCUCCUGUUAAUUUUUUUGGCUUUUGUUUUUGUUCAUUUAGUGCACAGGUAGUGCAAUGCAGUUUGUAGAUAUAAUGUAGCAUCUCAUUUUGCUGUUUUUGAUUUUUUGAAUACUGGACAGAAUUAAGCACAUUCAGAACUUUUAUUGGUUGUACAGUGGAUAUUUUGCACAUUUGAAAUGAAAAGUUCUGUCUGAAUUGUUUAAUUGCAUGUGCUCACUUUCCUUCAAUUUUUUGGUUAAUUGGUGGAUGAAUUGUGUCUAAGAUUCUGUUAUGGAAUUGGUGUAUUUGGAGUUUGAAUUGUUGUGUGCAUAAACAGGAGGAAAAUUGAAAAAAAAAAAUAGGGACUUUUCUCGCCAAAAUUUUGAAAGGUUGGGACGUUAUUUGCAAAAUUUUUAAAAGGUAGGGAUGUUUCUCGUCAAUACAUUUUAAAGGUAGGGAUAUUUUCAAAACAAUUAUAACAACGUAGGAACUACUAUCAUAAGGUUAAUUCAAUUCUUAAAAGAAGUGAAUAGGACCAGUUCAUCUUCUCCAUUGAGCCAAAAUGGGCCAUUCACCAUUGAAAUGUAAUACGUACUUCACAACACCCAUUUCCACUCGUUCUUCUCAAUUUACUCAGUGGGUUUCACCCUUAAUAAGCAUAAACUGGAAGUGAACAUCCAACAUUAAUCUUUAUAAAUUGACCACCCAUUCAAUAUAUGUGUUUUUAAAUUUUUUCAGUAACCCAACAUGACAGCAGUAGUAGUUGUGGAAUUGUGAAAUAUAAUGUUGUUCACGAUAUUUUUUCUUUAUUUAACGUAAUCAUUUAAAGUAUUUUCAUAUUUAUGUUGUUGCUAUUGUUACUUAUGAACUAAGUUGAUGGCGGGAAGAAGGGGUGAAAUGGGUGAGGACAAUUUUACCCUUGUUUAUUGAAAGAAAAGUCAUUUUUGUAUUUAAUUAACGGAGAAACUGACAGAAUGUGGACGGAAGGACAUCUAACGCAAAGAAAGAUUGAAAUGAGGGCAAAAAUGUCAAAAAAUAAAAGGUAAGGUCUUUUUCCACAAUAGACUUAAAAGGUAGGGACGUUUUGUACCAAUUACCAUUGUACAAAACGUUUCUACUUUUUAUUUUUUAGCAUUUUCACCCCUACCUACCCCAUUUCAUUACGCAAAAUAUCAUUUUCAUCAAUUUUUAACGAUUUUACCCUUCUAUUUAAAUUUAAAAAAAAAAACAAAACAAAAGAAAAAUAGUGAACUAAUUGCAACCAAGGUCCCAAAUUUUCAAAAAAUUACAAAUGAGUUAAAAAUAUUUUUUUUGAAAAAAAAAAAGAAGCAAAACCGCAUCCGACAAGAAAGUCAUCAUAAAUUGCCUCUAACAUUCUCAGAAGACCGGAUGUCGUCAACUAGGUCAAUCGCCUCCAAUAAGAAAGUCAUCAUAAAGAGCGCCAACAUUAAAGAGGACAUUCAGAGAGAAGCUAUCUAGUUUUCAUUUCACUCAAAAUAAGGAAAAUAAGUAAAACCCACUUAUUUUUCCCCUAGUUUUUUAUUAUUAUUUUUUUUUAUGUUGAUUUCUGUUUCUUGAAAAGCAUUGUUUUUUAUAUAUAGAAUCAUAGAUUCAUAGAUAUAAUUUAUAGAGGUUUAUCAAAAUUUCAGUCCUCUCCUAUUUGGUGGGUUAAGAAUAAAGAUUUUUUUUUUUUAAGAAUAUAUUUUUAACUAAUUUGUAAUUUUUUGAAAAUUUGGAACUUUGGUUGCAAUUAGAUCAUAGUUUGUCUUUUCUUUUGUUUUUGUUUUAUUUACAUAGAAGGGUAAAGUCGUCAAAAUAGAUGAAAAUGACUUUUUGAGCAAUUAAAGGUGUAAGGUAGGAGUGAAAAUGUCAAAAAUGAAAGGUAGAGACAUCUUGUGAUAAUUACCCUUUCCUAUAGAUUUAUGUUAGUGUACAUAUUAUGUCCACUAUUUUACCCAUAGAUUAUAUUUGACAUUGAUUUCUGUAGCCAAAGAUGUAGAUGUUAUUUAAGAGUUCUCUUUUCAUUUGGACAAUAUUUUCAAGAUUACUUCUUCUCCUAAACAAAUUAUGGAGUUACAAGCUGCUCAAAAAAUUAAAUAAAUAAUCAAGCAUAUGUUUGCUAUUGGAGAGCAUGAAUCGGGAAGUGGGGCAAUAAAGUUGGUACUUUGAAACGAUCAGGAGCUACUCGUACAUAUGUAUACAAUAACUUGCAAGAUAUUCGACAAUAUUAGAGUCCAUUGCCCAAAUUAAAGAUUUCAAACUAAAGUUUUUGGCAUUUACGAACAUAUGGAAAAAAAUUAUUUUGUAAGAGCUUGCAUUUAAUGCUUAGCUUUAUGAGAAUAACUGAUGUUCUUGGUUAGCUCCUUCAAAACAAAUUCAGAUGAUAUUGGUUGCUAUGCGAUUUAUUUUUACUACUAGAAAUCCCUAAAAAUUGAUAGAUAAUGAUUGGAAAGAAUUUCUUCAAGAAGUGGAAAGAUUUUAUUCAAAAUAUGAUAUUGAGAUACGCGAUCUAGAUGGUUGAGGCUCAUCCUUGUCCUUGUCCUUGUCCUUGUCAUUCUCAUGAUCAUAUUAUAGUUGAACAUCAUUAUCAUUUUGACGUUUUCAAUAAACCAAUAGAUUUCGUACUAACAGAGUUAAAUGCUAGAUUUAAUGACAUCGGUAGAACUACUCUAUCUCAGUAUAGCUUCGGAUACUAGAGAUUCAUUAGAACUAUUUAACAGUUGUGAUAUUUUUAUACGUACAAAGAAAUUUUAUCUUUUAGAUUUUUUAGAGCAAUACAUUAUAACUUUGAAAUACACACUGUGAGCAAGAUAUGAAAAAUGAACAUCGAUUUAAUUUAUCCGUACCUAUUGAGUCAUGCAAACAGUUAAUUGAGAGUAGAAAGUCGAAGAAUUAUAUUAUGAUAACUAUGUCGAUUAGUCUUGUAUAAACUUUACUCAUUUCUACUGCAAUUACUGAGUUAUCAUUUUCAUUAACGAAAUAUGUGAAGAUGGAUUUUCUUAACAAAAUAUAGGAUGACAUAUUUGCUAAUUAUACGAUGCUAUUCAUAAAACGAGAACUUAUUGAGAAAAAUAGAUCAAGAUUCUAUUAUAAAUGAAUUUUAUGUUUCAAAACCUCGUAGAGAACAACUUCAAAAUUAGAUGAAUAUGAUUAUUAAUAUUAUAUAUAAAUUUAUUAUAACGAUUUUUUAAAAAAUAAAUUUUAGCCCUGCAUUUUUAGUUCCAUCCAUAUUUGUAGGCAUAUUUCAAGGUAGAGCAAUUAAAACAAAUCGAGUCGGAUUGGUUUGGGUGUUUGAGCAAAAACAUUGAUUUGAUUCGAUUAGUUUUAACUGUUAAAAGUCGGAUUGGGUUUGUUGCGGUUUAAGCAACAAACCCAACCCGCUAAUACAUUUUUAUUGUAAAAUUAAAAUUUUAAACUUCAAUCAUAAAAUAAUAAAACCAUAAACAUAAUUAUUUCUUAAAUAAUUUGUGUACUAUCUACUUCUCUUCUACCAAAACUUUUUAAAAGAAAAGAAAAGUAAGGAGGAGAAUUGUUUGUUGUUAACUCCAAAUUUAGAUUAUAGUCGUUUUCAUUUUGGUGUAGUUGUUUAUUGGUAAAUUAUCAUAUAUAUGGGAUAAUUUUGAGGAAAUUCUUAGUGGCAGAUGCAUAGAUUUUGAGUUAGGGGAGCAAAAUCAAACUUUCAAAAAAGUUAGGAGGAAAUUUACAUCAAAAAAAAAAAAUCAUCUCCAUGUGAAUUUGUAAAUUUACACGGAAUCCAUGUAAAAUUUCCUAAUAAAACGAUGUAAAUAAUGUUGAGAAAUUUGUCGUGCAAAAAAAUCAAUGUUAAUGAAAUAAUUGAAUUUUUUUAAAGAAAAUCAAGUUAGACAUUUUUUUAAGUUUUAUGUUUAAAGCGCCUUUAACUAUUUACGAUGUCUGUUGAACCACUCAAUAUACUAUGAUGUAAUUCUCGAAACAAGUUUCAAGAUGACGUAGGCGAAUUGUAGACUUGGCUAGCGUACGAUCAUCGAAGAAUUUUUAGCAUGUUAUCAAAAAUUUUGAAAUACUAGUUUGAAACGUCCUAUUUUGAAAGUCAUAACAUUUGUUACAAUUGACCAUUUUGCUCUCCAUUGACGACAUACAAAACUAGACCAUGAGCACUCCGAAAUAACAUUAAAAUGUAAUAUUUCGAAUUUAUUUGACAUCAUGUAAUAACUUCCAAAAUUGAGACAAAAACAAAGAAAAAAAUGAAUUUGUCAAAAAGUCUGGGGACCCAUGACCCCAGGCCACCCAAUGUCAGCCCCUUGAAAUUCUCCAUUUACUAUAUACAUUAUGUGUAUUAUUGAUGCAAACUAUGCAAGCAAAAAUAAAAAAAUAAAAAUUAUAUAUGUGGACAAUUUUUUUUUUUUUUUAAGCGAGGCAGGUAAAUUUUUUAACUCGUAUUGAUUUUCAAAUCUCAAGAAUGUAUCAUUAAAAGUUCAAAAAAAGGUAUGAAAAACGAGAAAAAUAAUUUUCUUUUUGAGAGGUGUGAUUAAAAAUGAUUGCGAGAAAAAAGAAAAGAAAAAAAGAAGUGAUUUUCAAAAGCUCGCUUUCAAACAAGGGCGUAGUUUGAAUUAUAAUUUAAGCUAUCUCAAACAUAUACAUACACUAUGUUAUAUUUGUAAUUUGUUAUUAAUAAUAUCUAUUGUGAUAUAUGUAUAUAAUAAUUUACACGCAUAAUGUGCUAAGAUAUUAUUAAGUCGGAAUUUAUUCAAAUCAAAUAAAAUUUUUUUUCGCUCUUUUUGAUACUUUAUAUGUAUGUAAAUCAUUAUAUAAUUUCAUUAUGUAUAAGUAGAACCAUUCUAAGAAUAUUGGACGUUUAUCAAAUUUUUAUUAUUUUAAGACUAAAUUAAAUAAAAUCUUACUAUCAUUCAAUCCAAAUUAGCAAGGUUGUUUCAAUGAUCCGGUCAAAAAUUACGAUCUCGACAAUUUUUAUUUAUUUCUUUUCAUUUAAACCAUUAUNNNNNNNNNNNNNNNNNNNNNNNNNNNNNNNNNNNNNNNNNNNNNNNNNNNNNNNNNNNNNNNNNNNNNNNNNNNNNNNNNNNNNNNNNNNNNNNNNNNNNNNNNNNNNNNNNNNNNNNNNNNNNNNNNNNNNNNNNNNNNNNNNNNNNNNNNNNNNNNNNNNNNNNNNNNNNNNNNNNNNNNNNNNNNNNNNNNNNNNNNNNNNNNNNNNNNNNNNNNNNNNNNNNNNNNNNNNNNNNNNNNNNNNNNNNNNNNNNNNNNNNNNNNNNNNNNNNNNNNNNNNNNNNNNNNNNNNNNNNNNNNNNNNNNNNNNNNNNNNNNNNNNNNNNNNNNNNNNNNNNNNNNNNNNNNNNNNNNNNNNNNNNNNNNNNNNNNNNNNNNNNNNNNNNNNNNNNNNNNNNNNNNNNNNNNNNNNNNNNNNNNNNNNNNNNNNNNNNNNNNNNNNNNNNNNNNNNNNNNNNNNNNNNNNNNNNNNNNNNNNNNNNNNNNNNNNNNNNNNNNNNNNNNNNNNNNNNNNNNNNNNNNNNNNNNNNNNNNNNNNNNNNNNNNNNNNNNNNNNNNNNNNNNNNNNNNNNNNNNNNNNNNNNNNNNNNNNNNNNNNNNNNNNNNNNNNNNNNNNNNNNNNNNNNNNNNNNNNNNNNNNNNNNNNNNNNNNNNNNNNNNNNNNNNNNNNNNNNNNNNNNNNNNNNNNNNNNNNNNNNNNNNNNNNNNNNNNNNNNNNNNNNNNNNNNNNNNNNNNNNNNNNNNNNNNNNNNNNNNNNNNNNNNNNNNNNNNNNNNNNNNNNNNNNNNNNNNNNNNNNNNNNNNNNNNNNNNNNNNNNNNNNNNNNNNNNNNNNNNNNNNNNNNNNNNNNNNNNNNNNNNNNNNNNNNNNNNNNNNNNNNNNNNNNNNNNNNNNNNNNNNNNNNNNNNNNNNNNNNNNNNNNNNNNNNNNNNNNNNNNNNNNNNNNNNNNNNNNNNNNNNNNNNNNNNNNNNNNNNNNNNNNNNNNNNNNNNNNNNNNNNNNNNNNNNNNNNNNNNNNNNNNNNNNNNNNNNNNNNNNNNNNNNNNNNNNNNNNNNNNNNNNNNNNNNNNNNNNNNNNNNNNNNNNNNNNNNNNNNNNNNNNNNNNNNNNNNNNNNNNNNNNNNNNNNNNNNNNNNNNNNNNNNNNNNNNNNNNNNNNNNNNNNNNNNNNNNNNNNNNNNNNNNNNNNNNNNNNNNNNNNNNNNNNNNNNNNNNNNNNNNNNNNNNNNNNNNNNNNNAUCUUGAAUCACGACUGAUUGUGCAAAUAUUUUACUUAUUUUCUUGAGUAAAAUGAAUGAUUUUUUUUUCUUUAAUGAGAAAAUAUUUUUUUUCAAAUUAAAAAAAAAAAAGUAAUUACGUGUGGCAUCAUCAAAAUGAGUUAAUAAAAUUGACCCAAAAAUUGAAGAUAUUUUUGCAUUAUAUUUAAAUAAAGUUAUGCAUUUUUGGGAUUUAAAAUUUAUUGACUAGCUACUAAUACGUUUCAGCAAACUACUCCAACGAACUUGAUGUAAUUCUCCACCACAUGUUUUGUUAAUCUGAAUUAAAAUGGUAGAGCGAUUUUAAUAAAAUUUUCUAUUUUCUUUUCUUGUAUUGUAAAGCUAUUUUUUUAAGUAAUCAAUCUAAAAUAAGUAAUAUUUUUCACUAAUUUUUUUUAUAAAUAUGUGAGGAAGGCUUAUUCUAGCACAAGAAUUUUUUUAUUUUUUUAAAAAUAUAAUAUAGAGAGUAGGGGCCUUGCCAAUCUUGGAAAAUACUAUCUAAAAAUAUUAUCUCUCUCCUCGUUGUCAAUCCUCGCUAAGUCAUUCGAUUUCGACAUGUUCCCGAAAAGAAAGAGAUUGUGAAAAUUAGAUAAACCUUUUUUUUUUUGGUCGUAUUUCGUCUAUGGUCGUAUUUCUUCUUGACUUUAGUGUUGAAUCUCCACGAUAAAAUUGAUAUUAAAUCAUCACAAAAAUAUUCCCAAAAUCCGUCUGUCAAGCAUAUCAAUUCGUUGUUAUUGCUCAAGUAUUCAUUGUGCUUCAUGCAAACUCGAUAAAAAGGUUUGAUUAAUCCACAAAAGCUAUUUUAACUUGAAGACUAUUUUAAACGGGAUAUUAACAUAAUUCCUAGUUUUAAAAAUGUCAUUUCAUAAAUAACAAACUCAUUAAAUAUUUAAAAAAUCAGGUAAUAAAUAAUAUUAUUAAAUAAUAUAAUAUAAUAUAAUAUAUAUUAAGAUUUCCACCCAUGCCACGUCACCCACCCCAUCAUAUCACCCCACUACACCACCUUCUCUCCACAUCUCAAACAAAGAUGACCAUAGGCUCAGACGAUUGCUCCGACGACUAUUUCGACGAUCACUCCGGCAAACUGCUCCAAUUACCACUCCGACGAUCGCUCCGGCAACUAUUUAAACAAUUGCUCCGAUUAGUGAUGGCAAAAAAGCUCGAGGGCUCGGGCUGCCCAUGGCUCGGCCCGCAAAAAGCUCGAGCCGGCUCGGGUCGAGCCCCAUCUUGGGGUGCCGGUUGAGCCCAAGCUGGCCAACGCGGGUCAGCUCGAAAAAAGAAAAAAAAAAGAAAAAAAAAAAGGUAAGGUAGCGACCAAGGCAGCCAACUGCCUUCUAAAAAAAAGUAGAAAAAGGAAAAAAAAUCAAGUUGGCUCGGCCCGUUUCGACUUGAUAAGGCCCAAACCGAAAGUUCGGGUCGAGUCUCAACUUUUUUACUGAGAUUUUGCUCGGCUCGGCUCGGGCCAAAAAAAGUCCGUCUUCAAAAAGCUCGAGCCGAGCCCGAGCCUUAUUUUUGGCUCGCAAGUCGAUUCGGCUUGACUCGUUGCUAUCCCUAGCUCCGGCUCUUUGAUAGAAAAAUCUCCAAAAUUUGAAAAUAAUUUCUCUCUAUACUCGACUGUAGAAAAUUUUUCAAAAAUUGUGGCAGUUGUAAUGGUUCAUUGUAAGUGAUUGGAUUGCAACUGUGUUAUCUGUUAGCAUACCUGUGUCAUAUGUAAUUAUUUAUAAUCAAAUUUAUUUUCGGUGUGACUGUAUGUGAUUGUCUAAUUUGUGACUGUAUAUUACAAAUUCACUAACUUUUGUUAUCUGUGAUUAGUCGUGAUCAACUUUGUCUUCAGUGUGACUUACUGUGAUCAAAUUUAUUUUCAGUGUGAUUGUUGUGACCAGGUCAAUUUCAAGCCACAGUCGAUCAUAAUCAAUACAAAAUUGAUCGCAAACAGUCACAACAAACACAUACUUGAUCGUCACAAACAGUCACAGAACUAUCAUAGCUAACCACAAAAUCAUCACAUCCUAAACCAACACUAACAAACCAUGAAUUAAAAAAUUAUCGUACCUCCACCACCAUGAGCACCAUUGCAUCUAUAUUACUAUAUUCACAAUUACCACCACCACAACACCUGCAAAACUACUGCACCACCACCGCACAACACACCCAUAGCACAGUACCACCAGAUUCAAAUUUUUAUUAUUUUGAGACUAAAUUAAAUAAAAUCUUACCAUCAUUCAAUCCAAAUUAGCAAGGUUGUUUCAAUGAUCCGGUCAAAAAUUACGAUCUCGACAAUUUAUAUAUAUAUAUUUUUUUUCAUUUAAACCUUUUUUUUUUUCCUUUUUCAUUUUUAAUCUUGAAUCACGACUGACUGUGCAAAUCUUUUAUUUAUUUUCUUGAGUAAAAUGAAUGAGUUUUUUUUUUAUGAGAAAAUAGUUUUUUAAUAAAAAAAAAUGUAAUUAUGGGUGACAUCAUCAAAAUGAGUUAAUAAAAUUGACCCAAAAAUUGAAGAUAUUUUUGCAUUAUAUUUAAAUAAAGUUAUGCAUUUUUGCGAUUUAAAAUUUAUUGAUUAGCUACUAAUACGAUUCAGCAAACUACUCCAACCAACUUGAUGUAAUUCUCCACCACAUGUUUUGUUAAUCUGAAUUAAAAUGGUAGAGCGAUUUUAAUAAAUUUUUCUAUUUUCUUUUCUUGUAUUGUAAAGCUAUUUUUUAAGUAAUCAAUCUAAAAUAAGUAAUACUUUUCACUAAUUUUUUUAUAAAUAUGUGAGGAAGGCUUAUUUUAGCACAAGAAUUUUUUUAUUUUUUUAAAUAUAUAAUAUAGAGAGUAGGGGCAUUGCCAAUCUUGAAAAAUACUAUCUAAAAAUAUUAUCUCUCUCCUCGUUGUCAAUCCUCGCUAAGUCAUUCGAUUUCGACAUUUUCCCGAAAAGAAAGAGAUUGUGAAAAUUAGAUAAACCUUUUUUUUUUUGUCGUAUUUCGUCUAUGGUUGUACUCCUUCUUGACUUUAGUGUUGAAUCUCCACGAUAAAAUUGAUAUUAAAUCAUCACAAAAAUAUUCCCAAAAUCCGUCUGUCAAGCAUAUCAAUUCGUUGUUAUUGCUCAAGUAUUCAUUGUGCUUCAUGCAAACUCGAUAAAAAGGUUUGAUUAAUCCACAAAAGCUAUUUUAACUUGAAGACUAUUUUAAAAGGGAUAUCGACAUAAUUCCUAGCUUUAAAGAUCAUAUUUCAUAAAUAACAAAGUCAUUAAAAUAUUUCAAAAAUCAGGUAAUAGAUAAUUUUAUUAAAUAAUAUAAUAUAAUAUAAUAUAUAUUAAGAUUUCCACCCAUGCCACGUCACCCACCCCAUCAUAUCACCCCACUACACCACCUUCUCUCCACAUCUCAAACAAAGAUGACCAUAGGCUCAGACGAUUGCUCCGACGACUAUUUCGACGAUCACUCCUGCAAACUGCUCCAAUGACCACUUCAACGAUUGCUCCGGCAACUAUUUAGACAACUACUCUGGCUCUUUGAUAGAAAAAUCUCCAAAAUUUGAAAAUAAUUUCUCUCUAUACCCGAUUGUAGAAAAUUUUUCAAAAAUUGUGGUGGUUGUAAUGGUUCAUUGUAGGUGAUUAGAUUGCAACUGUGGUAUCUGUUACCAUACAUGUGUCAUAUGUGACUAUUUAUAAUUAGAUUUAUUUUCGAUGUGAUUGUAUGUGAUCGUGUAAUUUGUGACUGUAUAUGACAAAUUCACUAACCAUUGUUAUCUGUGAUUAGCCGUGAUCAACUUUGUAUUCAGUGUGACUUACUUUAACCAAAUUUAUUUUCAGUGUGACUGUUUAUGACCAGGUCAAUCUCAAGUUACAAUCGAUCACAAUCAACACAAAAUUGGUCGCAAACAGUCACAACAAACACAUAUUUGAUCGCACAUGAUCACCACAAACAAAUCUGCACACACCGCAAACCUGCGAUUAACCGUGAUCAACUUUAUCUUCGGUGUGACUAACUGUGACAAAAGUUGAAUUCAGUGUGAUUGUUUGUGACCAAGUCAAUUUCAAGUCACAACCGAUCACAGAACUAUCAUAGCUAACCACAAAACCAUCACAGCCUAAACUACCACGAAUUAAAAAUUUAUCAUACCUCCGCCACCACCAUGAGCACCAUUGCAUCUAUAUUGCUAUCUCCACAAUUACCACCACCACAACACUUGCAAAACUGUAGCACCACCACUGCACAACACACCCAUAGCAUAGUACCACCAUCUUCUCUAUCUCCAUCUACCAUACUAUCCCCACCAAUAUCCCACCAAAAAAUCCAUAAACCGAUUAUCGCCACCAUAGUACACUACCACGGCCAAUACCUCAAAAACCAUAAUAAAAUAUGUUGCAAAAUCAUCACAAAAACCACUCAAGAACCUCCACAAAUGGUGGAUCGCUGCUAUGAUAUGCAACAUUGGAGAAAAUUUCAGAUCCAUAAGCUGUGCUACAACACCUCAGCGAUCCACCACUCGACGUGCACUUGCUGAAAUCUGCAGUGACUGCAACUGUUGCGAGCAGUUGCAGCCAUCGAUACAAUAGGCGAUCGGUCUCACGAAACUCCAGCGAGAGAAGAAAUAGGUGGCUAAAAUCUAGAGGGUAGGGUGGGGUGGGGAAGAAGCCGUCGAAUCGUUGCGAGUGGUUGCAGCCAUCGAUGUUGUAGGCGACCAGUUUCGCGAAACUCCGACAGGAGAAGCAGCAGGUGGUCAAAAUCUAGAGGGUGAGGUGUGGAAGAAGUCGUCGACCUAAUAUUUGUGUAAGAGAGUGACCAUCUGAUUUUUGGGGAAGAGAGAGACUGUGUUGGUUAGAAAUGAAUCAAGGCUUGGGUAUAAAAUAAGUAUUCGUGGGUGAUAGGGUGGUUGGGUGUAAUUAAUUUAGAAAUUAGUAUUUACCACCUGAUUAUUGAAAUUUAAUCUUUACCUAAUUGCUUUUGAAAUGUAAUCUUGAAAAGAAGGGUUUUAUGUAAUUUUCCCAUUCUAAAAUUCAAUUUCUGCCGUAUUCUUCUUGUUUAUUGGGCUCAACCCAACACUUGAUUUCAGUCCAAUAGAAAUGUGUAUUGGGCUUACUACAGAACUAAACUCUUUAUUUAUAGUAGAGUUUAUGAGCUUGAAGAAAAGAACAAGUGGUAACAAGAAAAUAAUUGUUUUAGCUUGGCUGUGUCGCUGGUUUUUAGGUCAGUCCGUGAUAUAUAACUAUGACAUAACUUGCAAGUUAGGUUUCCGAAAUUACUAGAAAAAUUAACCAAAAUAAUCUAUAAUUUUCAGUAAACUAAGAAUUCUUGGGUCAGACCCUGGAAGGUUUCAAGAAUUUGGUCCUAAUUUUUACCCAAAUCUAUAUUCAAUAGUUCGAGUAGAACGGGUCUGAGGUCGGGUUAGACAACAAGAAAAAGAACGUUCACUUCCAGAUGACAAUUUCUUCACACAGAUUGUUGAUAAAUCUGUUUGAUCUAUUUUCUGGUUCCCCUUGCCAUUUACUGUUUUUGCCCCCAGAUGGGCAAUGUCUAGCCUCUCUCCGGCUGGCAGAAAAACGGAUCUCACAAUUCUUGAUUUCCCAUCCACGAAACUCCGUCACCAGAAACCUUAGGAACCACUCGAGCCCGAAUUCUUGCACACCAAAAGGACUUCUCUUUGGCCUAAUUUAGCUACCCGAAGUAUUCUUGCAUACUCUGUUUUGCCUGCAAUCCACCACGAGGAAAUCAAUCCCGGAUAAGGCUUGCAUAGCCUCAUCCGCUGACAAACCAGAUUUUUGACUGUUAUAGUCUUGCGUUUCAGCCCGCUGCCAUGAUGAUAAAGUUCUGCUAAGCUCGAUACAUCAAGAGUUUCGCGCUGAAUUUGCCGUAACUGUUACAAACUAUGAACUGAAUAUAAUUGGAAAAUAUGACGAAGAAUAUCAUGACAAUCUUAAAAAACAUGAAAUAAGCAGCUUUGCAAAAUAAUAAAAAGGUUGAAUUAUUUCUACUUUUAAUUAGAUUAUUAUACUUACUGAUUUUACAGUUUCACUAUAAAGCUUUUGAAGCUGUUUCUGGGGACCAAAUUACUAGCUUCACGAUCAACUUCUUGAUUCUGGGCCUCAUUUUUUUAUUAUUAUUUUGGUGCUUUUGCUGCCUUUUCAAUUCAACUUGUGUUCUUUGCUUUGCUAAUAAAGGCGUGGCUUUGUGCCACAAUUGGCCUUUAAAUGAGACAGACAGCAACUUAGAAACUGUUAUGUCAAACCACCGUUAUAAUUACUCCAGAUUGAAGUAAUAUGAUUAAUUAAUAGGCUCUAUACAAACUGAUAAAGACUCCAAUCUAAAUCUUGUUGAGGUGUCGAUCCUUAUCACAUUUUGAUUAGGUGGUGAUAAGAUUUGCGGUUGUUAUCUUCAAUCUUCUUGUUACUUUCCUGCUUAUUGCCACCGCAAGAUGGAGCUCUCGUUGGAGAUUCCAAUCUUGGAGAACUUUGCAGUAGAGAAUGGCUUAGUGAGAGUAUCAGUCAAUUGAUUACUAGAGGAAAUAUAGGAGACGACAGAGGAGCCACUGGUAACAUGAUUAUGCACAAAAACAACUGAAUUGACUUAGAGAUAUGUAGCUCAAAUUGUCGUAUAGAACAUGGUAAACCAACGAAGUUACUGCACCCUGAGAUUCUGUAAUAGAUUUUUGAUCCAAAGAACCGUCUUCUACUUUCUGGAGCACCGGGAAACUACUAAACUGCAAUCUGAUCCUCAUGUACCCUCCAUACAAGGAGAACAUUUCAUUUAUAUCAAACUGAUGCCUGUACUUUUACGAGGUUAUGCUUUUCGGGUUAAAAAAUGUUGAGACUACUUAUCAACAUUUGUCAACAAGACGUUUGCCGAACGACUUUGACUGGCAAUCGAGGUAUACAUGAAUGACAUGCUCAUAAAGAGUUUGAAAGCAAAAGACCACAUCAAACAUUUAGCCCCUCUUUGUUUCCCAUUUUUUCUUCCACUUUUAGAAGAAAUAGAGCCAUUUUUGAACCCACCUAGCAUGAUUUCUUUGACUUGCAUCUCACAUUUGGCUUAGAAAAGUGUGCACAAUGGUUGGAAAACCCAUUUUCAUUUUGAAGAAAUAUGCAGCAAACACUGGCUUAGAAGAAACUUUCCACAUUUUGAAGCAUUAUAGAAUGAAGCUAAAUUCAGCCUUGAGGUGUGUUUUUGUCGCAACCUCCAAAAAAUUCCUAGGCUGUAAGUGUUAUGCCCUAAAUCCAAUCGAUUUAGGUUGUAAAAACUUCUAAUAUGUUUCAUGCAUUUAAUUUUGGCAAGAUCUAUUAUUUAUUUAAAUUAAUGUUGUGAUAAAUAAUAUUAAAUAAUAGAGUCCAAAGAUCCAAAUUUAAGUGAUUUGUUAAUCACAAGGAGUUAUGAUUGUGAGAUAUAAAUUACGUAUGAUUGGAUCUUGAAUAAACUAUGGUCGUAAGUAAUAACGAGAUACGGAUAUAGUUAAUACAGAUAGACCAUCACGUGUAGCAUUUCUUACUUGUCAAGUAAGUAGCUGAUCUCACGAGUUAAAGUGUGGUGACACUUAAAUGAACAUGUGGAUGUUUUGUUAUAGAACAAAACAUUGGAGACCCACUAAGAGAUUCCACAUGGAUAACUAUUUGAGUGUCAAUGGUUAAUCUCUAGCGUUCGAUAGUGGAAUUAGUCCUAUGACUUGAGGUCAUCAUAGUGCCUUAUAUGAGGACAGUCAUACUUUGACGGUGUUGGAUGUUGUUCUGCCAAAGCCUGCUAAUACGACAUCGUUCGGGUAUAUCAAGAACCAUAUGAAGGUUGUGAAUGACCAAUAGAGAAUUCGUUACUCUUAGAUAGUAAGAGAUUGUGAUCUGCAUUUCGUUCCAUUAAGUCGAUAACGAAAUUCUUGGCCAAGGUAUACAUAUAAGUCGAAAAAGAGUUUUCGACUCAUAUUGGCUUAAUAGUAGAAUGAAAGAUAUGAUCGAUAAUUGAGAUUGACACACUUCCAUAUCUCGUAGUUGAUUGGAUCAUAUUGACGAAGGGAUUACAGUUUCAUGGUAAACGAACAGUUUUGGUUUUGUUAUACCAUAUGACAUUUCCCGUCACUUGUGUUGCCCUGAUACAUUGCUAGAUGUCAAUCUGGGACGGUGAGUGUGAAUUUGUAAUAAAUUAAAAAGGUGUUUAAUUUAUCAGUUUUGAUUAGAUCAAAAUAAUAUUUCACGUCAUUAGGCAUCGUAGUCGGGAAUCUAAUGGGUCGCACACAAAAGAGAAUUGGAAGAUUGCAAAUUGUCAAUAAAUUAAUUUAACAGUCGUUGGAUAAAUUAAUUAAUUGGAUUGGUUAUUUAUAUCUAAUUAAUUCAUGGAACGGGUUUAAUUAAAUGGAUUAAUUAAAUAUUGGACCGGAUCGGGCCAAACCCGUGUGGGUUUAUAUAAAUACAUGGCUAGGGUUUAAGGUCCAUAAUAUUUUUAUUAUUCUUGCUGGCACAAGAGGAAAAAACUCUAGCAGUUGCAGUCUAUUCUCUGUGUUGAUUUCAUUAGAGGCUGGACAAUUGAACAGAUGUGGGAUGCAGAUUCAAGUUGUUGGAAAAAAAUAACGCAAAAGAGUUCGCAAAAUUAAGAAAAAUGUAUAUUUCUUAUCACAGUUCUUAUCUAAAUACAAAGCUGAAUCCUGAAUGAGAAUUGAAACUGUUUAAUUUCGCUGUGCAUGUUUAAAUAAAUUCCCUACAAUAGUAUUAGAGCCAACUUUGUAUUAAUUAAGAAUUGAUUUACAUAUUGAUUAAAUUAAAACUUGAUUUAAUCAUGUUUAUCUAUGAAUCUAGCAAUUGUAGUUUUAAUUUUUAUUAUUAUUAUUAUUUUUUUUAGAAUCUGAUUUUGAAUCCAGGCGACGGGGCAGGUGACGGUGGCGACAGCGCGUUGACUAUAGCAGCACCUUAGCCGCUGCUAUAGGCGGCAUCGCCCCCGUUGGCAUCGCCAACAGUAGAAGAAAAAAAAANNNNNNNNNNNNNNNNNNNNNNNNNNNNNNNNNNNNNNNNNNNNNNNNNNNNNNNNNNNNNNNNNNNNNNNNNNNNNNNNNNNNNNNNNNNNNNNNNNNNNNNNNNNNNNNNNNNNNNNNNNNNNNNNNNNNNNNNNNNNNNNNNNNNNNNNNNNNNNNNNNNNNNNNNNNNNNNNNNNNNNNNNNNNNNNNNNNNNNNNNNNNNNNNNNNNNNNNNNNNNNNNNNNNNNNNNNNNNNNNNNNNNNNNNNNNNNNNNNNNNNNNNNNNNNNNNNNNNNNNNNNNNNNNNNNNNNNNNNNNNNNNNNNNNNNNNNNNNNNNNNNNNNNNNNNNNNNNNNNNNNNNNNNNNNNNNNNNNNNNNNNNNNNNNNNNNNNNNNNNNNNNNNNNNNNNNNNNNNNNNNNNNNNNNNNNNNNNNNNNNNNNNNNNNNNNNNNNNNNNNNNNNNNNNNNNNNNNNNNNNNNNNNNNNNNNNNNNNNNNNNNNNNNNNNNNNNNNNNNNNNNNNNNNNNNNNNNNNNNNNNNNNNNNNNNNNNNNNNNNNNNNNNNNNNNNNNNNNNNNNNNNNNNNNNNNNNNNNNNNNNNNNNNNNNNNNNNNNNNNNNNNNNNNNNNNNNNNNNNNNNNNNNNNNNNNNNNNNNNNNNNNNNNNNNNNNNNNNNNNNNNNNNNNNNNNNNNNNNNNNNNNNNNCGCAGUGGAUUCCGCCAUAUACACCGCAACAUAAUGGUGUAUCUGAACGGAGGAAUUGCACUUUGUUAGACAUGGUGUGAUCUAUGAUGAGCCAUGCAAACAUCCCAAAUCAUUUUGGGGUCAUGCACUAAUUGCUGCGUGCUACACACUUAAUCGUGUCCCAUCUAAAUCGAUCGUCAAAACUCCAUACGAGCUAUGGAGAGGAAAAAGGCCAAACUUAUCUCAUAUGAAAGUUUGGAGAUGUGACGCUUAUGUAAAUCGAAAUGAAUCAGAUAAGCUUAAGGCUAAAUCUGACAAAUGCGUUUUUGUGGGAUAUCCAAAAGAGAUAAUUGGAUAUCAGUUUUAUAAUCCCGUUGAGAAAAAGGUGUUCAUCUCAAGGCAUGCCAUAUUCCUAGAGAAAGAGUUUAUUCUAGUAGAGGGUAGCGGGAGCAAACUAGAACUUGAAGAAGUUUAAGAAUCCAUAGAUACUGUUGACCAAUUAGAUGAACCUGAGUCUGAUCUCACACCUGUUGACGGACAGACUCUUGACCAGGAUGUAGAGAACCCUAAGGACACUCCAGCUCAGCGUAAAUCAAGUAGGAUCAUUCGACCUCCUAGAAGGUAUGAAUUCACGAUUACUAAUCAAGUAUUAUUAGUCGAGGAUGAUGAACCUACAAAUUACGCAGAAGUAAAGUCAAGUGUUGACUCGAAGAGAUGGCAAGAAGCCAUGGAAUUCGAAUGAACUCAACGUAUGAGAACAAGGUUUGGACCUUGGUCGACCUUCCAAGUGGGAUAAAAUCGAUAGGUUGUAAAUGGGUUUACAAGAAAAAGGUNNNNNNNNNNNNNNNNNNNNNNNNNNNNNNNNNNNNNNNNNNNNNNNNNNNNNNNNNNNNNNNNNNNNNNNNNNNNNNNNNNNNNNNNNNNNNNNNNNNNNNNNNNNNNNNNNNNNNNNNNNNNNNNNNNNNNNNNNNNNNNNNNNNNNNNNNNNNNNNNNNNNNNNNNNNNNNNNNNNNNNNNNNNNNNNNNNNNNNNNNNNNNNNNNNNNNNNNNNNNNNNNNNNNNNNNNNNNNNNNNNNNNNNNNNNNNNNNNNNNNNNNNNNNNNNNNNNNNNNNNNNNNNNCUGAAAGUUUUGAAUCCAAAGGAGCCAACAAAGUAUGUAAGCUAAAUCGAUCCAUUUAUGGAUUAAAGCAAACCUCUAGGAGCUGGAAUCUUCGUUUUGAUGACACAAUCAAAAGGUUUGAUUUUAUCAAAAAUGAAGAUGAACCGUGUGUUUACAAGAAGACAAGUGAGAGCGCGGUCGUAUUCCUAAUAUUAUAUGUCGAUGACAUAUUAUUAAUGGGAAACGACAUCCCAAUGCUUCAAUCGGUAAAAUUAUGGUUGUCAAAAAAUUUCUCCAUGAAAGAUAUGAGAGAAGUAGCGUAUAUCUUGGGAAUCAAGAUCUAUAGAGAUAGAUUUAAAAGAUUACUAGACUUAUCCCAAUCUUCGUACAUAGAUAAAAUCUUGAGAGGAUUUAAUAUGGAAGAGUCUAAAAGAGGUUUAUGUCCCAUGUCGCAUGAGAUUUACCUCUCAAAAGAUAUGUGUCCUAAAACACAUGAUGAAAGGAGUAGCAUGGAUAAGAGUCUUUAUGCUUCGGCGAUAGGAUCUAUCAUGCAUGCGAUGCUAUGUAUGAGACCAGAUAUUUCAUAUGCUCUAAGUGUUACGAGCAGGUUUCAAGCAAACCCUAGUGAGAAACACUGGAUAGCGGUUGAGAACAUUCUUAAGUACUUGAGAAUGACUAAAGAUGUGUUCUUGAUCUAUGGAGGAAAUGAACUGAAAAUUCUUAAGCAUACUGAUGUCAGCUUUCAAACUGACAAAGAUGAUAGCAAGUCUCAAUCAGGAUAUAUGUUUACUCUCAACAGUGGAGCAGUUAGUUGGAAAAGUUCCAAAUAAGAGACAACCGCUGAUUCAACAACAGAAGCCGAGUACAUUGCUGCUUCUGAAGCAGCGAAGGAAACUGUCUGGAUCAAGAAGUUCAUUAAUGAAGUUGGAAUCGUUCCUAACAUUGUUGAUAUCAUACCUUUGUAUUGUGAUAACAAUGGAGUCAUCGCACAAGCGAAGGAACCGAGGUCUCAUCAACGAUCCAAACAUGUACUAAGGCGAUAUCAUCUCAUCAGGGAGAUUAUACAAAGAAAUGACGUAACGAUAGAGCGAGUUCCCACAUAUGACAAUAUUGCAGAUCCAUUGACAAAGCCAUUGUCACAAUAGAAACAUGAUCGUUAUGUGGACGCUUAUGGUAUUAGAUGCAUGAGUGAUUGGACUAGUGCAAGUGGGAGUUUGUAAGUGUUAUGCCUUAGAUCUAAUCGAUUUAGGUUAUAAACACUUUUAAUAUGUUUAAUACAUUUAAUUUUGGCAAGAUCUAUUAUUUAUAUAAAUUAAUGUUGUGAUAAAUAAUAUUAAAUAAUAGAGUUCGAAGAUCCAAGUUUAAGUGAUUUGUUAAUGACAAGGAGUUGUGAUUGUGAGAUACAAAUUACGUAUGAUUGGAUCUUGAAUAAACCGUGGUCGUAAGUAAUAACGAGAUACGGAUAUCGUUAAUACAGAAAGACCAUCACGUGUGACAUUUCUUACUUGUCAAGUAAGUAGCUGAUCUCACGAGUUAAAGUGUGGUGACACUUAAAUGAACACGUGGAUGUUUUGUUAUAGAACAAAACAUUGGAGACCCGCUAAAAGAUUCCACAUGGAUAACUAUCUGAGUGUCAAUGGUUAAUCUCUAACGUUCGGUAGUGGAAUUGGUCCUAUGACUUGAGGUCAUCAUGGUGCCUUGUAUGAGGACAGUCAUGCUUUGAUGGUGUUGGAUGUUGUUCUGUCAAAGGCCGCUAAUACGAUAUCGUUCGGGUAUGUCAAGAACCAUAUGAAGGUUGUGAAUGAUUAAUAGAGAAUUCGUCAUUCUUAGAUAGUAAGAGAUUGCGAUCUGCAUUUCGGUCAAUUAAGUCAAUAAUGAAAUCCUUGGCCAAUGUAUACAUAUAAGCCAAAAAGGAGUUUUCGACUCAUAUUGACUUAAUAGUAGAAUGAAAGAUAUGAUCGAUAAUCGAGAUUGACACACUUCCAUAUCUCGUAGUUGAUCGGAUCAUAUUGACGAAAGGAUUAUAAUUUCAUGGUAAACGAACAAUUUUGAUUUUGUCAUACCACGUGACAUUUCCCGUCAUAUGUGUUGUCCUGAUACAUUGCUAGAUGUCAAUCUGGGACGGUGAGUGUGAAUUUGUGAUAAAUUAAAAAGGUGUUUAAUUUAUCAGUUUUGAUUAGUUCAAAAUAAUAUUUCACGUCGUUAGGUAUCGUGGUCGGGAACCUAAUGGGUCGCACACAAAAGAGAAUUGGAAGAUUGCAAAUUGCCAAUUAAUUAAUUUAACAAUCGUUGAAUAAAUUAAUUAAUUGGAUUUAUAUCCCGAAUUAAUUAAUUGGAUUAAUUAAUUCAAAUUAAAUGGAUUAAUUAAAUAUUGGACCGGAUUGGGUCUAGCCCGUUUGUAUUUAUAUAAAUAUAUGGUUAGGGUUUAAGGUCCAUAAUGUUUUCAUUAUUCUUGCUGGCACAAGAGGAAAAAACCCUAGCAGUUGCAGUUUAUUCUCUGUGUGGAUUUCAUUGGAGGUUGGACAAUUAGACAGUUGUGGGAGGCAGAUUUAAGUUUCUAGAAAAGAAUAACGCAAAGGAGUUUGUAAAAUCAAGAAAAAUGUAUAUUUCUCAUCAUAGUUCUUUUCUAAAUACAAAGCUGAAUUUUGAAUGGAAAUUAAAAUUGUUUAAUUCCUCUGUGCAUGUUUAAGUAAAUUCCCUACAUAAGCUACAUGGUCAAUCAGAGAGGUACUGAAGCCAACUCAGAAAAAAUCAAAAUCCAGGUCGGGAUGGCAUGAAUGGCAGCCCUUAGCCUAUUUUUUGUCCCAGUCUACUCAUUUUCGCUCUUCUUUUUUGUACAAAAGGUGAUUUACUUUUAAACAUAACCAAUCAAGCUAUAUAGUCUUGAAACCAUUAUUUAAAUUUUGACUAGUAAAAAUCAUUUGAAACCAUUAUCCAAAUUUAUAAAAAUAAAUAAAUAAAUAAAUAAUGCUAGUAGUGCUAAACCAUAUAUGAUUUAUUAGUUCAAUAUACUUCAACAAAAUUACUUACUAAUCGGAUUGUAAUCUGCUUCUGAUAAAUAAUGAUUCACGAUUUAUCUAUUUCAGAAAGAAUGAAAUUGAAAACUUAAAUUUUUUUGUUAAACAUUGUAUUAAGUUGUAAAGAGACAAACAUAUGUAGUGUUGUAAUGUUUAUGCAUAUAAAAUUUCAAUUCCAGUACGAUAUUGAGAUUUUAGAUCAAUAUAUUGGUGUUUUAGCCCAAAUGAAAGAUGUUAUUGUUCAAAAACUUAGUGGACCUGCAAGAAAUUGUUUAAUUUAGGCAUUGUUUGAGCUCUAUUAAUUUGAAGAAAUAUAUAAUACCCGUUUGGUACACAUUAAUGUAAAAAUGAGAAAGAAAAAUAUAACUGUUAUGAGUCUCAUACAAGAGAUAGAAAGUUAAAUAUGGUAAUUUGAUGUGAUGGAUAACAGUCGUAUUUUUCAUUUUAAUGGACAAAUAAUGGGAAACAAACAUGAGACAUAAUAGUGAUUGAUGAAAAAUGUGUGGUUAAAAAAAGUUUUUGAUUUACGUGUAAUAUUAAUUUAAUGAAGAAUGUGUAAUUAAAAAUGAGUAGUGUAAAAAAAAAAAUAAUGGCAAAGAAUGUAAAGUAAAUGAUGAAAAAUAAAGCUUAAUUAUUUUGAAAAUUUUCCAAACCGUUUUUGUUUUCCAUUUUUGUAAAAAUGAAAAUGAAAAAUAUAGUCGUUAUGAAUCCCAUAUAAGAGAUAUAAAUUUAAAUUUUUCGAUUUAAUGUGAUGGAUAACGAUCAUAUUUUUCAUUUUUUAAUGAAAAAAUAAUGAAAAACAAACAGGCGUUUAAUCUACUAUUAAGAACAUGAAUGAAGUAUAUAUUGCUUGUUCCCACGGGCAACUCGCCGAUAGGGGGACAUUGGAAAAACAGAGCCACGUUGGCCCUGUUUGAGAAGAAUUAUUAUUCAAUAUUAUUCAAAAUGACAAGAUUGUGACAGUGACCAGUGUCACGGCAUAUGAAACCGCAUAGGUUGGAUUUUGAAAUUGGACCGACUUCUCCUCACGCGUUUUCACAAAGAAUUUCACCUUUGAACUCACUCUCACCACUUUAAUAAUUUCCAAAACCACAAAUGUUAAGACUUCUUUACUUUUCCCAAUUUUAGCAUAAUUUUAGGAAUCUGUCUAAAAAAAAUAAAGUUAGAGCCAUUUUCUAAGUUUGGGUGAUUACAAAAUAAUUUAUUUUCGUUUAAUAAUUUCACCUUACCCUCGCAAUUGUGAUCCACUUUUACUUUUCUAACGUAAUUCUCUUCCUUACUUUAUUGUACCACCUUUUCCUUUCCAUUUCGUUUCAAAAUAAAUACUUUUUUAUAAGUGAAUUGAAACAUAUACAAAUUACUUAUUCUAAAAGUAAAAUUUGUGACGUGCUGUCAAAUAAAUAAGAUAAGGACAAAAAGAAUUUGUUUAAAUACUUGCAUGCUAAACAAAAAAUCAUAUUUUAAGUAGAUUUUGAUAAAGGUUGAUUAAAUAUAUUGAUGAAAAUUUGAUAAAAAUUAUGGAAUUCAUUAAAUAUGUUAUUAAAAUUAAUUAUUGAUUUAAUUAACAUUUUUUUUUUCAACUUUUUAGCUAAACCAAAUAUAUGUUAAGUCUUGAAAAUCCUAUUAAAUGAUUUUCUUCGACUAUCAUCAUAGAUAACUAAAUAUCUUCUUAGAGAUAGUGAUGUACCCGCACCUCAUUCUAAGUCAUUAUUAUUCACUUUAUUUUAUGAUUAUAUAACCUAGUCAUAAUUUUCAACAAUUUUAAAGAGAUUUAACAAUCUUGAGAAAAUCAAACAAUUUGAUAGUUUGUCUGCCCAAUUAUAGUUAGGUUCAAAAAACUAUUACUAUUUUCUAGACUAGUUUGAUCCUUGUUUUCAUUUAACAAAUGAAUUGCACAUAAUUAAGAGCCUGUUUGAUAGUGAUUUUAGGAAUUGAUUUUUUGACAAUUAGGAACAAAGUGGGGGUCACUUGUGAGAGAAGAAGUCAAAAAUAAUGACUGAAAUAGUGAAAUAACGAUCAGAAAAUCAAUUUUUUAAGGUGAAAAAUCCCUCCUAAACGGAGCCUAAAUUAAUUAUUUUCACUUGUUCUUAUCAAUUUCAUUUUCUUUGUUGGCAUUCAAAAUUCUUGAUUGUGUCAUAAUAUACACUCACAUGAGAAGUAUCUGCAAGACUAUGACCUAAGACAUCUUUUCACAAUGAAGGGACAUUAAAACAAGUAUAGGAUUGAGAUAUAUAUUAUUAUAAUCAUGUGAAUGUAUAUGAACUGAAUUUGGCCAACUUAUGAAUUAAUUUAUCUAAUAAUUAUGUCACUAUAAGCCAACUGGUAGUUAGUAAAUACAGUAGAUAUUGCCAAACAAGGUCAAGAUAUUGUGUUAUGUGGGACCCUUUUCCUCAAAACUGCUUGCCAGUAGGCCAAAAAAAGAGCACUUGAAAGAAUUUUUCUCCAGUACAAAAACCCCUCAGCCCCCUCCAUGGUCUAAUGUACCAUUCCCUCUUUCAUAAUUCUUAAAAAAAGAAAAAAAGCAUUAGCAAGAAGUACAGUAGAUUUACUUGCAGUAGCUAACAAUGGCCCGACCGCAGCAGCGAUAUCGAGGUGUUCGACAGAGGCAUUGGGGCUCGUGGGUCUCUGAAAUUCGUCAUCCUUUACUGUAAGUUGGUCUUUCUAUGACGGGAAAAAAGGGUCGAUACUUAAUUUUUAUUUUACGUAGCAAAACGUGCAAAUGCACAAGUUUGGACUCUACUGAUACUAAGAGAUGUCUUAAUUUUGUUACAGAAAGACUAGAAUUUGGUUAGGCACAUUCGAGACAGCAGACGAUGCAGCAAGAGCCUAUGAUGAGGCAGCUAGAUUAAUGUGUGGUCCAAGGGCUAGAACUAAUUUCCCUUACAAUCCCAAUUACUCGAAUAACUCUUCGUCUCAGCUUCUUUCGGCCACAUUGACAGCAAAAUUGCACAAGUGCUACAUGGCUUCUCUUCAAAUGGCUGCUAAACAAUCGAUCCAAGAACAUCGUACUCCUCAAAUAAUUCCUUCGCGAAAUGCAGCAAUUCCGAGUGAUGCCAGUGCCAUUACAGUAGAGAAUGCUCCUAAUUAUGAAACCAGUUUUUGGUCAGCAGAUUAUGAGAAGAAACCAAUGGUGCAAGUGCAAGAAAUUAAGCCACUUGAAGAAGACCAUAUAGAGCAAAUGAUUGAAGAACUUCUUGAUUAUGGGUCCAUUGAGUUCUGCUCAUCUCAUCAGCCAAUGUGAACUAGCUACUAGCUUAUUUCGACAGCAUCAAUCUUGUUAUGGCUGAAAAAAAAGCCAUUUUUUGGCUCUUAAGUUAAGCCAAACGUGCUCGUUAAUUUAACCCAUUUAUCUAAACCUUAGUUAUCUCUAGAAGCUCUUCAACUAUAUUAGGACUUCACUUGCAUUGGAUGAAGAUUAUGUACAUUGUACCGUGUUAUAAAUUUUUGCUAUUGCCUGAGUUGACGUAGAAAUAGUAUUUGCUAUUUCAGCAUUUUUCUUAGUCCUCGUUUGGUUUAGUUAAGAAUAAAAUUUUUAGUAUAUUUUGAUAAAAACUGAUGAAAUGUGUGAUCGAAAAGUAGAUAAAAGUUGUGGAUCCCGUAAAAUAUGGGCCUAAUGCAUCUUAAUAUCAUUGGGAAAAUCAAAUGUUUCUCUAAAAUUAUUGAUGGAACGAAUAUUAACGAAUUAUACUGUUAACAUGUUGAAUAUUGUACUAAGGAAAACGAAUUCAACUCAGAAUCUCCGACAACUAAGUUUAAAAACUGAAGAAUAUAUAUUAAUAGCUUGCUAAAAAUGAGACUUCACUGCACAUAUAUCUUCCAGCAAGUUUUAUUUCAAUUCCCACAUUAAAAAAUAAAAAAUUGGGUGUAAAAAGUGUAGAGCGUAGGUGUAUGCAUGGUGGUAGAAGAGUGAGAAAAUGGGCUCAAGUUUUCAUGCCAAAAGUUUCAAGAUUUUGCUUAAAAUUUUUACUGGGAUUUGGAGUAUGUGUUUGGGAAAAGAAAUACUAUUUUUUUAGAGGCAGUUUUUGCUGUGGGAUUGCCGCUGAUAAAAGCAAACGAACACUGAAACCAAUUUAUUACUUUGUGAGGUAUUUCAAUCAUGUAGUUUUUGAAUUUUCUUAUGCAUAAUUUAAAAAGAUAAUGAAAAUCCGUUUGGCCCCCAUUUUUUUCAAAUUAAAAUAUGGCGAAUAGUUUUUUUUUUUUUCGAGAAUGAGUGAUUUAAAAAGAAGAAAUUUUUUUCGAUUUAUAUGCACAAGCUUGCUACAUGUACAUUCACUUUUAUAUUAACUUUGAUAUCAUUUCACGUGACACACAUCAUAGCCUUUGAUUUUUUCAACACUCUUUCACAUCACUGGUCAAAUUUUGACACAUAAAAAGAAUGUCAUUUAUAAUGUAAACUAGAAUGUAAAUCUAGAAGCCCCUCGAGGCAUAUCCCAAUGGUGCAAAGGAUGAGGGUGAUGUAUACUCGACCUUGUUGAUAGCCGCAGUAUGAGGGUUCAAUUCCUAAAACAUGAAUUGAGACUCUUUAUGGAUGCCAAUAUAUAGACAACUCUUGUUCCCUGACCUGCUGGGCACAUCUCGUGAUUAACCUCUCUCACGAUACUCCAGGGGGGUGGGGUACCCUUAAAGUUGGGAUUCAACCUUUUUUUAGAAUAUACAUCUAGAAUAAUUGUUAUAUGUAAUAUCAUUUUAUGGAAAAUUGUGUGAUUGAAAAUAGGAAAGAAAAAAAUGAAAUUUAAUUUAAUGGGGGCCAAAUGACAACAUAGUUUAAGAGCCUAUUUAAGCCCCUCUUUUUUCUUUUUGCCCAAAGUGCAUUUUGAAAUAGUAUAUUAAUGGAUAAUGUGUGGUCGUGAAAUAUUAUUUUAUUGAAUAAUAUUUGAUUGAAAACAAAAGAAAGAAAAAUAUAUUUUAAAAAUAAUUGAGAUCAAACGAGAGCUUAAAUGUGAAAAUGAUUUUAAAGUGCAAUUUCAAGUUUCGAGAGAAAAUUCUUUCAUUGUUUUCUUUAGGAGAUGUUUCAUACAUUACUCACUUGUAGUGCGGGAAAAUAAUUAAGAGAAAUUGACAUGAAAAAAACGAAACGAAUUAUAGAAAAUUGUGGAUUUCAUUUCUAACUUAUUUUGCUAUUUUUCAUAAUUCUUUAAAAUGAGUCUCUCUCUCAUUUUAACCUGUUAUGAUAAGGUUGGUCACAUGUGACCAAUAUAAAUUUAUUAUUUUAUUUGUCGUUUCAGAUUUAACUCUUAUCUACUGUGAUUAGUCCAAGUCCUUUUGUUCUUUGUUCUUUGUUCUUUGUUUAUGUAUAAAUGUAUAAUAGAAUGUAUCAUUUCUUUGUCUUCUAUUCUCGGAUAUAUUUUUUUAUUUUUCAAUUCCUUCCUUUAUGUUAGCGCACAUGCAUGUUACCAUAAUAUUUUUCAAUUGUGUUACCAAAUUCUAUCUUUUAAAGGCAUUUCAUAAGUUGUCUUGACUUGUCUUGGGUACAUGAAGGAAAGCAAAACCUGGCUAAUUUAGUUCGACUCGCAGUUUAAACUAUAGAAUCAAAAAUCGUGGAAUAUACUCAAGAGUUUGUAUUUUACUCCUUCGCUACGCUUAUUUAGUUCCAAUUCAAUUGUAAAGCUUGAACCCCAGUUGACUUAGGUAUGCUACACUUGUUAGUUAUUGAGAUUUUACAAUUUUCUUUUGGAAUAUAAAAAAGAAACAGAUCGGACUGAACCAACAGUUCUACCAUUGCAUGUAUUUCUACUUGAUUUUUGAGUUGAUUCAUUUCUCAUUGACAAAAAUCAAAUUGAACCACAUCCACCCUCAGGGAGUGUGUGAUAAAGCUUGAAAUUAAAAAUUAGCAAAAUUUGUUAGAAGUUCAAGAAAUGCGGGUCUACAAAAUGAGUGGUUAAAAUUAAAGUUUGAUCAAUUAAAAGGCUUUUAUCAAACAAGCACUUAAUCAAGUCUAGUCUAAGCGUAUCAAACAUGACACCACACUCGUAUGUUAUGUUUAAUUGUUUUGCUUAAAAGGAUUGAUAAAAAUUAAAUUCAAAGAACAAUUAAUUUUCACAACACAUUUCAUGAAAACCACAAUUUUAAUCAACUUAUCAACAACACAUUUUAUCAGUUUUUAUCAAAAUUUACUAAAAAUCUGAUUUUCAGUAAAACUAGACAAGGGUUAUCUACGAGUGUAGUAGUUGGACCUAGAUUAUAGGUAUUGAAAUGCUUUAAGGUGAGACUUAUAGAAGAAAACGGAUAAAAAACAAAAACAUGCCUUUAUCAACACUUUUGGGUAAGACUAAAUGAUUGACUUACAUUAUAUCAAAUUGAUAUUUUUAAGGUGAAAGGCAUAUAACAAUAUUGUAAAGAAUAUUACUACCAUGCGUAUCAUUAUUAUUGGAUUGUUAUUGUUUUUCUAAAUGCAUGCUCACUUUUAGGUAUUCUUGGUGUCCCAUCUUCUCCAGUGAAGACUCAUGAUGCCCUGUUUGGGAAUUGAUUUUGCCCCCCACAAAUGAAAAACUUAAAAGCAAUUUAUAUUUGUUUUUUGCUUUUUCAUUCACUAAAGUUGUCUAAAUAAUGAUAUUGCCAGUAAGUAUAUUAUCAUUAUUUGUUUGAAUUUUGUGUUCAUAAACUUUCACCUGACCAACCAACUUCCUCAAUCUCAAGACUACAUCAAUCACAAUAACAAUGAUCAACUAGGUGCAAUAUCAACCCUUCAUCGACUCGAUCAAAGCCCGGAAUUAUUGACCAUGUCCCUCCAAAAUUUGGGCCGAAUUGACCGCGUAUACCUCAAGCCAAGUUGAUCAUAUCGUGUACAACGUCCUGAAUGAUAGUUCAUUAAUGUUCAUUCAUUUACACGAUAUCCUCCUUUCAACUAUGAAAAAGUUGAACAGAAACAAAAAAAGUUUUAGUUACAUUUUCAGUUAUGAGUAAAGUUCACUUUCUAAAUCAGUCGAUCAUGUCUUUUAUUAUUCACUUCCAUAAGAAUGGUGCACGAAAGAAUCACCCACUUCUCUUCAUCCCGUUUCACCCAUAGAAAGAAAAAAAAAGAAGCAACUUAGGAGUUUAGAUAUUGAUGAAAUAUAAUUAGGUCAAAUUCAAACCAAUCUCAAGGGUACAAAGCAGGUUGCAGUGUCUUUUAUGACAAAAGACUCAAUUGGGUCUAUUCAAUUAAUAAUGUCUUGCCUAUAAACAAGCCAACAAGAGAAAAGGAACAAACUCUUUGCUGGACUUAAUGUUGACUUCUUAACAAAAUUAAUGAUAGCCAAAAUCCGAAAGUGAACAGGCCUGUCAGGAUAUUUUGAGUUGUUAGUUUUAUAUUGUUGUAGAACUAGUCUUAGAAAUCGAGUUUGUGCAAAAUAUAGAAGAGAUGAAGAACAUAAAACCUUACGGAAUUUCAAUAUUUGACUUAUAUUUACUGACACAAGAAGAUUUCAUAAUUGAAAGUGGAGAAUACGAAAGAGUUCAAAGUACUCGAUCACGAGAUUCUGAUCACCCCAAAAUUUAUGCUAUGCAAAAAUUAAAGAAAAUUCAAAAUUUCACAAAAAUGAUAACCUCUUUAGACCUAUCACUAGAAAUAAGAUGGAAAUAAUACAAAAGGGAAGGAUUCUUUUUGGGAGCACCAAAGGAGAGGCUAAACGAUCAUCGCACACACAAGACAAAAUCCAUAGAAAACCAAACUCAAGAAGAUUAACAAAUUUAUACCUUUAAAGAGUAAAUCUUAACUUACUUCUUAAAAAAAAAAAAGGUAACUUUUUAAAUUAUAAUCCAAUAAGCAGUUAGUGAUUCUAAUUUUUCCUGCAAUACAAGAGAAAAAGAAAGGAAAAUAGUCUAUGUAGCUUAUUUCAUGGUGAGUGAUCUUUCAUAAUUAAUGGUCAAAGCCAAUGAUGAUGUGUAUGGAAUCUCAUGAGGAAAUGUUGGAAAGGAGACAAAACAAAAAGGCCUUAACCUAAUUAUAUUUCUUUGGUAUCAUUUUGUUUUAGAUUCUUCAAAUCAAGAGAGUCAUGCUUGCAAAAAAAGCCAAAACUCACACAAGAAAUCAAGGAUUCUAAUCUUUUUUCAAUGUUUGAUUGCUUUUGCUUUAUUUUAUCUCGUAAGAUUAUUAUCAAGAAAUUUUAUUUUUUAACAAUGAAAAAAGUUACGAAAACCCUAUCCACUAUUGUUGACGAUAUUAUUUAACAAAGGAAUUAAGGGGGUGUUUGGUAGAGAUUAAAAUUAGAAUUUUUUUUAGUAGAUUGUGAUAAAAAUUUUCGAAAUGUGUGUUUGAAAAGUUGUAGGACCCAUGAAAGAUGUGGUUAAUAUUGAUUGUUUGUUUUGACUCAGAUUAAAAUCGAAUUUUAAUCUGUACCAAACAUGCUCUUAACUAUAUUAUUGGUAUGUGCUUAAAAGUUAAUUUUUAAAAAAAAUUAAGUUUAGACUCAUUUUUAGAAAAGUAAUUUCACACAAUAAGUAGAAAAAUUAAUUUUUUUUUUCUUUUAAUCAUGACUCACAAAUAAAUAACUUAAAAAUGAACUUACUUUUAAGCACAACCAAAUGCAUUCGAGUAAAAGGGUAUAUACGAUUACGUGGUAUGUCUCAUCAUGUGGCAUGUUAAAUUCCACAUGGUCUUCUAGUUGCCUUUUUAUCCUUCAUUAAAUCAAAUGACAAAACAAUCCCAUGUGCAUGUGCUUCUUCUCCCUCCCAUAGUUUUUUCUCAACAAGUUUUGACAACAAAGAUAAAUGCAUUGAUUGUGUUAUUUUAGGCAUUACAAACAUAAGAAAUUAUAUAAAUCAAUCAUAGAAAAUGGUAGGAAAUUCAAUCAUUAAUCUACCCUUUAAUGGUUAUACUAUGUUGUUGUCCAACUAUAAUGAAUUAUAUGCCAUCGAAUGGUUAACUUAUUGAACUUGUACUAGGUUGAAUAUUGUACUCAUCGAUUUGAAAGCUAGUCAUUGGACGUCUGGUAAUUCCAAUAGUUACUGUGAAAAAGUUGUAGACAAGUUUUCAAUCAUGUUUCAAAUGUUAAUGCUUCUUGCCUAAUUGAAUGGUUGAUAUAUACAGUAUACUCUUGGUAUUGAGCGUGAAAUGUGGAUUUAUUGUAUGAUUAACAUGAAAAAAAAAUAUUAAUUAUGUCAUCUAUUUAACUAUUACAAUGUUAUAUUUGUAGUUUUUCAACAAAAAGUACCUUUUAUCAUUGUUUAUUAAAAAUGAAAUAAUUGCAGGAGAAGUCCCAAACAUUUUAAACACUAGACUUUUCUUUAACAUUUUAUUUUUUGUAGUCGUCACUCUAAACCUUUUAAAACCUUGCAUUUGAAGCCCUUUCGGAUGAAAUCCGUCCAAUUUACCGUUAUUGACCUAAAAAAGUGAUUUUGACAAAGAAAAAAAAUCAAUUUUGACCACAGUUUACUUAAUUUUAAAAGGGUAAAAAGUGAUUUAAUAUUUUUACCAUAAAAUAAUAAAAAAUUUAAAAAAGAAAAAAAAAAAAAAACUACCUUCUUCUUCCUCACCCCACCCCACCCCCAUCCCCACCAGUCCUAGCACCGAAAUCCUAAUCCAGCCCCCAUCGCAGAUAAAUCCUCGAUCUACAGGUUCAAACUCCAAUUCCCCAAUUGGAUUUGAUAAAAAGAAAUCUAAAUCAUCGUUCAAAGAUAAAUCCCUUGUACCCAUCACUCGCACUUCUCACCAGCAGCAAAAACGAAAAAAGGAUUCAAAAUAAAGAGAAACUCAAAAUCUAAGUAGAUCCAGUUCCGAAAUAAUGGAUUUUUCUUCUUCUAAGUUGAAGAAAUUCGAGGAGGCGACAGCAAGUCCUACACUAGUGUAAGUUUCGCCACUAGUUGCAUCGUCUUUGGGUUUAAACAAGAUAAAACCCGAUCGAUGCCAUUGCCACAUGAGAGUUUCUUCAGUUUUGGGAGUAAGGAUAAGGGGGUUUGGGGCCGUUGCCACAAGAGAGUGUCUUGAAUUUUGAUGGGAGAAUUGGUGGAGGAAAUUGUUGUAAAUGAUCGGAUAACCCAUCCAUAUUUCCAAAGUGACCUUUGACCGGUUUUUUAAUUUAAAAAAAAAAUCGAAUUUAAAACUUAAAAUCCCAAAAUACCCCUCGGCUCUCACAAAAAUCGAAUCUCACAAAACUGAAAAAGCAAGGACGGUUUCCAGUCGGUCGGAGAAGUUGCUAUCCAUCUCCAACGAAUAGUCUUGUUAAGAUAACUAUUAUUUGGUUGGAUUAAUGUUUAGAUUUUGGUUAAAGGUGUGAAUGAUUUAUUUGUUGGAGAUUUUUUCAAUAUACUUUUGUUUAUAUAAGUAAAAUAGAGUUUAUAUAGUGUAAAAAAUGGUAAUUUUCCGGCGAGAAAGCUUAAAGAAGCCCGACUGUUGGUGCACAGGCAUUUUUUGCUUUUACCCGACUGUUAACAGUCGAGUCGAGUCGAAUCUAACCCGACUAGUAACAGUUGGGUAACACAGUCGGCCAUACCGAUUGCAGUCGGUAUGGGCCGACUGUUAAACAGUUGGCCUAUCCAGCGGUUUGGGCUGACUGUUGGCCCACUUUUUUUUUUUUUUUGCCCAAAUUUUUUUCACAUAUAAUUUAAUAAUUUAAUUUUAAAUAAUUUUUAUUAUUUGGUUUUAAUAAAUAAUAAAUUAUUUAGUUUGUCGAAUUUAAAUAAAAUUGUUACGACUAAAUUUAAAUAAAAUUUUUACAUUUAAUAUUUAUUUUUAUUUUUUCAUUUUUGGUAAAUAAUAAUUAGAAAUAAUUGUUGGGAAAUUUUUAAUUGUGAUUUGAAAUAAUUGUUGGAAAUUUAAUUUGAAAUUUAAUAUUUAUUUUUAUUUUUAUUAUUAGUUUUUGUUAAAUAAUAUUAUUUUCAUUCAUGGAAUUUAAAUAUUUUUUGAACUUGAAUUGAUUAAAAAAAUUGUGAUAAUUGGGAAAAAUUGACAUUAUUGAUAAUAGGAUAAAAAUUUUCACAUUAUUGAUGAUUUUAAUUAUUAUGAAUAUGCAUUUUGCGUAUUGUAGAUACAAUUUUGUUCGCUAAAUUUUCUGUUAUUACUAUUAUCACUUGUACAAUGUUCUAACAUUUUGAAUUUUUAUAUGAUGGAUUAUCAUCUUGACGCAGAGUUGAGACAGAUGCCAGGCAAAGCUACAUGGAAUAGUAGUUUUGAUAGUUUCACAGCUGUGUUAGAGUUGCUUGAUGAUUAGCAUGCUGAUAUGCUGCGCCAGUCCUUCCUGUGGCCCUUGUACCGUUGAGAGAUCUGCAGUACUCGGGUCACAUUAUUGAUGCACUUCUAUGUCGAUUGCCGAGUCCAGUCGACAGCGAUGCCCUCCACUUUGCAAUCGGGGGUAAAAUCGCCAGUUUUUCGAUGUUCGAGUUUGCUCUGAUCACGGGAUUAAAGAUUACGGGCGAUGAAGAAGCUGGUGAUGGGAUUCAGAGAAGAAAUAGGCUUCAUGACGCUUACUUCGACAGACAGGGUACUGUGUUUCUUACACAGCUAUUGAACGCAAUCAGGAAGUGUGAUCAGAUGUUAGACAGACUGAAGUUAGGUCUGGUCUACAUCCUUGAGAGCGUGGUGCAGUGUCACCAUAAGAAGACUGGAUCGACCUCUUCUAUCUGGAGAUCGUUGACAACAUCGAUCGUUUCAACGACUAUCCAUGGGGCUAAAGAUGGUUUGAGGACACUGUACACGUCUUCACCAGAUCGCACUCGAAGCCCAAGGGAGCCAUGCAUAAGUACGACACCUAUGAAUUGCCCCUGGCAGUGCAGGUAAAUGGUUAACAUAAUGAAUAUUAAAAUUAUUUUCAUAUUAAAUUUAUAUAUAAUAACUGUAUGUGUUGCAGAUCUGGGCGUAUGAGGCCGUCCCCAUAUUGGGUGCUCACUUUGCGAGGCGAGGGGAGACAUGUUGCUCUCGGAUGCACCAUUGGAGAGCAUCUCGAUCGGAAGGAUGUCCCACUGAAAAACAGUUAUCGACUAUCCUGGACGGCCCUCAGGUGAGUAUUAUGCAUUUGUAAUUUAUAUUGUGCGUGAUUUAACAUCUAAUUGCAUGAUCGUUAACUAGUUCAAAUGUUAAUAUGUCAACUUGAAGUCAUAACUGAGUUGACGCCGUCGAUGGAGGAGGAGGCUCAGGGUCUUGUGUGUGAAUUAGGCGUUUCGUACACCGAAGACGACCAUAUGUCCGAUCCGAUCCAUGACCGAUAUUGGUUGAACAAAUUGAAUAAAAUCUAUUGAUUACCGUUUUGUAUGAAUUAGCAUUUACGAAUUAAGUUAAUAAUUUGUAAUGUUGUUGCUUGUGUAGGAGCGUGAUCCAGUUGAUCGACGAUCACCUCUGUCGAGGGCAUCACCACCUCCACCAACGGCAUCUCCUCCGCCGUCAAGGGAAUCUCCUCCAUCUCCCCCAUCCAGAGACCUUUCAUGUGGAUCUCCCGCAUGUAGUCAGGGGCACUAUUUUGACGAUCUGUACGUCCAUCUGAGCAGAUUUAUAGAAGGGCAGGUCGACGAGCUGCGUCGAGAGAUGAUAGAGAGGGUUGAUGAUCUGGGACGACAGUUGGUUGGAAGGGUCGAAAGUUUGUCGAAUGAGAUUGCAGCACUUCGGGGUGAUAUAGCCAGUAGGCGAUGGGUUGACAGAGACGGUGAUUGAGAGGGUGAUAGAGAUGGGGGUCUCCGGUAGUCAUACAUACAUGAUGAUGAUGCAUGGGAAUUGUUUAUUUUAUCCGUAGAGCGCGAUAGGAUGGGAGCAGUGACAGAGGAGGGAGGCCCGUCGGGGAGGGAGGCGGUGGUAGAUGAGGGAGUGGCCCCGUCGGAGACGGAGACAGAGACGGUGGCAGAUGUGGGAGUGGCCCCGUCGGGGAUGGAGAUAGUGGCAGAUGUAGGAGUGGCAGAUGAAGGAGUGGCCCCGUCGGAGACCGUGGCAGAUGAGAGGAUGGAGGAGGUGGCGAGCCCUGGGGUGGAGAAGGUGGCAGUGUAUAAGGCAAAAAAGCGUGUUGUUGACAUGCCGGAGACGGUAGACGGCAAGAGGCCAAGAGUGCCGUCACAGUACGUCGUCUCUUCCUUCAUGGCUGAGGCGAAGAGGAGAAGGUUCGUCGAUGGGACGUACCCUAAUCUGUUCCCAGAGGUCGACCAUGCGAGUGGAAAGCAUUCGAGACUGAGUGACGAAGAAUGUUACCCGGGUAAGUAUUGUAUGAUUUAGUAUACUAGAAUUACUCGUAUAUACUUCUUAAACGUUUUUUCUAUUUUAUUUCCAGAACCACACACAUGAUAGCUUGAAUGACGAUAUUGGACGCAUACAAGUAGUUCCAUGACAUCACCACUCAGGGGGUUUGGCCCGUCGACGAUGUAAGUGAAGUGUUAUUGUUACUUUUUGUAUAUGUUAUGUUUAAUUUGGUAAAUGAAAUAAGUAUUUAUGUCUUUGUUUUCCUUGAUGUAGCACAUCGACAUGGCCAUGGACUUGUUGCGCGAUCAAGUUGUGAGAUAUCCACAAUCAUUCCACAAGCCUGGCUGCAUAAUACUGAACACCGAGUUCUUCCGUGCCGUUACCAUUGAGUAUCAGUCCCUCCAACUUCUAGGUAACGAGUACGUGCUUCCCACGUACAUGCUCGAGUGGGUCAUCGGGCUGUCUUCGAGUGUUGGGGAAAAGUCAUGGAAGGGUUGUACGCAUUUGUACAUUCCAGUUAUCGCAAAUCAGCACUGCAUUGCACUGGAGAUCGUGUUCCCUGAUUCGACGAUAUAUGUGUACGACCCCGAUCAUUUAUAUCUGACACAAGGACAGCUCGAGCAGAUCUUAGAGCCGGUGACUGUGAUCGUUCCUAUGAUGGCUAGACACGCGGGCUUGACUAUGGAGGACAAAUUAGCACUCGUGCGGGACACAACGACGACGAGACAGUCUAUAUCGUAAGUCUUUGUAAUCCUUUUUUUUUAAAUUUAGUAAUCAGUUCGUACGUAAUUGGAAUCGAAUUAACACAUAUUUGUUCAUUUGCAGGGGCGACUGUGGGAUUUUCGUAAUCAAAUACAUAGAAUUUUUUAGUAUAUCACAUAAAGUUGAUGGAAUCAACUAGUCAUGGAUACAGAAUUGACGAAAUAAGUUAGCGUGUGAUUUAUACAAAUUUAAUUGUGAUCCAUAAAUUAUUUGUAAAUAUUUUUUGUAAUUAAUAUUUGUAAUUAUUUUUUGUGAUUAUUCAUGUAAAUACUGUUUAUUUCAAUGUAAAUACUUUUCAUUUCAAUGAAAUACACAAUGCUCUAACUGUCAUUUAGGGGAACCUGACUUGUACAAAAUUGGCGAGUAUGUCAUAUUGAUUUGCACUUGCUACACCUACGCGGUCAGGAAAACUCUCCAAUAGAUGGUAUUCUAGAAGUACUUUGACAUCUAAGACCACGUGAUUCAAUGAGAGGUGGCGACAAUGUAUUGAACGGGCGAAUAUGAUCGGGAACUUCCCACUCGGCUUCGUUUGGAAGCGGAAAUAUGGUUUCAACAUACGCAGCUCUCCAGUUUUCAACAGUGUAAUAAGGAGAGCACAAUGUUCUCGCUGCAAAUCCUCGAUACAUAGCCACCGCAACUGCAUGUUGCAUGCUCACAUGGAAAACUCUCUAAUUGAAAUUGUUUACAAGUGCAUGUUCCAUCACUUAAAUCUACCAGAUAUGCUGUAUGACAUGCACAUUCCACAUAGAAGCGUGACUCGUCUAGUGGUUCGACAUUUAACUUUCUUGCAGCCUCUACAGUCUUGAAGAGCUUUACCUCUUGGGCUGGGGCUAGCACGCUUGUGCAAUUAUGUGAUUCCGCACGUCGAUCGUGAAACCACUGCUGCAGCUUCGUGCGUAUAUUCUCAAUCAGUGCGAAAAUGGGUAACUCUCAAUCCCUCUUAAAUAAUGCAUUGAGAGACUCCGCGUUGUUUGAAGUCAUCAUGUUGUAUCGACGUCCUGGAAAAUAUGAGCGCCUCCAAUGUUCAAUCCCCAUUUGCAUUAGAUAGUCCCAUGCCGGGAAUGAUUUGCUUCCUAUUUCAAUCAUGUACCUAUUACACUCUUCAAUACUGUAAGCUUCGAUCGCUCUCCUAAACAAUGAAACGAUGCCUUUGCCCCAAUACAUGGUCUUCAAGUUGCCUUGUAUAUGGUACAUGCAAUACCCAUGAUGUGUAUCGGAAAAAACUUGAGUAAUACAAUUUAUUAUAGACUGUCCCCAAUCGGUGACAAAUGCAAGGUCCUCGACUUCUCUGAUUACUUCCCUUAGCUUUGUGAAGAACGAACGCAUCGACAGAUCAUUCUCGUUAUCAACUAUGCCCAAUGCAAGAGGGUAAAUUUGAAUGUUGACAUCUUGACAUGUAGCAAUAAUCAACUUGCCUUGGUAUUUGGAUUUCAGAGUUAUACCGUCGACUAGAAUUAGGGGUCGCAUAGCAUUUCGAAAUCCUCGAAUGCAUUAUCCAAGAGUCAUAAAAAAGAAUUUGAAGCAGUUAUCGGCCUCCA
This 54134-nucleotide long non-coding RNA is filed under the name Olea europaea (common olive). Its description in RNAcentral is "long non-coding RNA (OEUR_LNC001422)". Lineage: Eukaryota; Viridiplantae; Streptophyta; Magnoliopsida; Lamiales; Oleaceae. The record is from RNAcentral.